This 46814-nucleotide long non-coding RNA is filed under the name Musa acuminata (dwarf banana). RNAcentral's name for it is "long non-coding RNA (MACU_LNC003129)". Lineage: Eukaryota; Viridiplantae; Streptophyta; Magnoliopsida; Zingiberales; Musaceae. The record is from RNAcentral.
ACUUGUACGCGGCGAGGGUGGACUCGGCCGCGUCCUUGCGGUCGGAGCCGGUCUUAAACUCGGCGAGGUAGCGGUGGUAGUCUCCCUUCAUCUUGAGAUAGAAGACCUUGGAGUCGGCGGCGGAGGCGGAAGGGACAAGGCGCUCGUCGAGGAGGCGGAGGAUGCCGCCGCAGAUGGAGGUGAGCUCGGUCUCGAUCUUGGCGCGGUAGUCGCGUAUGGCGGCGACGUGGCCCUCGUUGCCGCGGCUCUCCUCCUUCUGCUCGAUGGAGGAGACGAUCCGCCACGAUGCGCGGCGGGCGCCGACCACGUUCUUGUAGGCGACCGAUAGGAGGUUGCGCUCCUCCACCGUUAGCUCCUCCCCUUCCAUUGCGGCCCCCGUCACCUUCUCCAUGAACUCGACCAUCUCCUCGUACCGCUCCGCCUGCUCCGCCAGCUUAGCCAUGUAUACGUUCUCCUCCCUCGUCCCCGCCAUCGCCACCGCCGCCGCCUCUACCGCCCAAAGAAACCGAGGAGGAGAACCAAACAAAACGCAGACGGAGAAGAAAAGAAGAGGCAGAGAAGGCAGCUUUUAAAGGGGAAGAUAAAAAGUUUGUGCAAGGAUCUUCUCCAACUUCGGCUUCCAAUAAAUCAAUCGAAUUCCAUAUCACAACCGACCACAAUGGGUACCGAUCACCAUCUCCAUAAUGAUCGGUCCCAUCAUUGUACAAUCACUGGAGAAGAUCCCAAACCGGAACUCUUUUCUAUUUUCGUUUUUUCUGAAAAAUGAAUAAUAAUAAUCGGAAGGGAAAUUUUAAGGGCCGUGCGGUAAAGAAGUUACAAGGGCUGAUGAAUGCACAGCAGAUCCCAUGAGAGUGUUUGUGAUCCACCGUCGAUAGCAAGCAGGAAGAAGCAUCGGGUCGGUCGAUCCACAAAGCGACAAGAGACAGCUGUCUUGUGAUGCAACGCUUUUGGAGGACGACUAAUUAAGAAAGGAGAGAGAUUUGGGACAGCUAAGAAGGGAGGAUGGUGGGAGGCAACGGUGCACCGAAGACGGUUUUACCUAUAUAUCCCUCUAACAGUCCUAAACUAACACAUUUGCCCCAUUACGGUUCGCUUCGAUUUAUUUGGUUCGGUCUACCGGACAAGCGGAAGAACGUGGCUCGAAGGGAUCGAAACGAUCAAACGGUGGUGAGGCGCAGGAACGAACGGUCGGGAUCCGAGGACGCUGGUUGCGCUCUCCUUCGACCGUCGUAUAAAAGAGCAGGCGAUACCGAGAGAAAACCUAACGGCGGAGUCGUUUCGAUAAGGCGGUCCGAGCUCCUCUCUCGCGCUUGCUUCGUGGAGCCCGGCGAGUCUUUGAACCAAGAUGAAGGUACUUACCCAAACAGGCUGAUGCGUUCGUGAGAUCUCUUUUCUUUGAUUGUUCGUUAUGGAGCUCCCGAUGAGUUUGAUUGUUGGUUUUGGUGUUAUUGUUGCAGUUCAAUAUUGCUAAUCCGACCACUGGAUGCCAGAAGAAGCUUGAAAUUGAUGACGACCAGAAGCUGUAAGCGGCUGUGGAUUCUGUUCUACGUUUUCUUUGUAGAUCCGAAUUAUUUCUGUCCUUAUCAUUUUUAUCCUGUAUCGCUAGUGCAUUUUCUUCAUCUUUGACGCCGCUAAACAUCAACUGUCUUCGUUCUAGAAGAACUUGGUGCUAGUAUACUUGGAACUCCGCUAGUGCUACCAUUUUUCUUACUCGAUUAGCUAAAAUAAAUGGUCGUCGAAGAACUUGUUGUUAGAUUGUUCGGACCAUGAUCAUUCUUACAAUCUCAUUCGUGAGGAGUCGGUGUUGAAUUUGGUUUUCUGAACUAGUAUUACUUUGAAAUCAGUGCAACUUUUAGUUUACUGUGCAUCCAUCAGGUUCGUCUCUGUAAAGUGACUAAUAGUUUACAAAUGAUUUUAGUCAAGAAGACUUUAGUCUCCUAAUAGCUAUAAGGAAGUCGUGAUUAGUAGUCUUAUUGUACGUUGUAAACAAGAAAGUUUGAUGCUUACAACUGUUUUAAUUUAAAGGUCAUAAAAAUGUGGUAUACACAUUAAUCAUAUGCUGUUCGUGGGUGCAUUAUCAUCUCAGACAAAACUGUGUAUCCGUCGAACUAGCAAUAGGCAUUCUAUUUGAUUUCAUUUUUCCCUGCAAAUUCACUUAGCUGUUAUUAUUACUAGUAGUUACAUGUGGGUGUGAAAUUUAUUCUGGAAUUCCUAUAGAUUUCAAAUGGUGCUGCUUAUACUGUUUAUCCUUUAUCCUGCAGCUUUUUUUUUAUUUUGCUUUAUGUUUUUUUCCCUUUCGUAAGCGGUGUUUUCCUUUUGAUUUGUCUUGUUCAGUGAGUCACCUAUUUCUGUUUUUAGUUGUAGCACUUAGUCUACAAUUGAGACAUUACAGCUUGUUGUAGGAUAUGGUUUUCAAGAUGAUGGCACAAUGCCUGACUUCUUCCAAAAUGUUAUGAUUGGUAGAAAUUGAUUGUUUGAUUAUCUUUUGAUUCAAACGAACUAUUGAUUGUUCUGUGGUGAGGAGUUGACUUAUAAUGAUUGACCUAUGUCAUUUCUGAGGUAGAUCAGUCGAUUCGGAACUAAUUUUACCUUAAAACAUAGCCUCAGGUCACACUGUCCUGGAAAUCAUCAAUCCUGGUUGGAUUAUAUUUGAAUAUAGAUGUUGAAAUAGCAUUAGAGAACCCAUUUGAGGCAAGAUGAAGAAGGAAUGGCACCAACAAGAUAUAAUUUCUGGAGGUAAUUACAUAUUUCAGGUUACUGGAACUUAUGUUGUGAAGGUGGAUAUUUGCAGGGUGACAUUGGACAACUGAGGAAUCUAUGCAGUUGAAUACUUUUUUAUGCAGUAUCUACAAGCACCAGUAGCCUUUUAAAGAUCAAUUUCAUUAUAACACAAAGUAAACAGUUGAUGUCUUGUCCUCUUGUUUGAUGGUUAAGUUGGCAACUAAAGUCAUUUGAAGACCUGUGCUUGUCUUGGUGGAUGGUUCAUAGUGUAGAGAUUGCUAUGUGGUAACCUUGGUGUCAUGUGUUCAAAUGGAGAAAGCAAUUUCUGCAUUUGCAUGGGCAAAGCUCAAUACACCAGGUACAAACAGCCUCUGCACUUGCAGUACUUAGCAGUGCCAUUUUGUAUCCUCAUUACUGUUUGAUCAAUUACUCUCUCAGCAUAUUGAGAAAGGGAAAGCUGGAGUUAUCUAUUGACAUAAUAGUUUUCUGUCACCUGCCUCUUGAUUUACACUAGUAAAGCAAUUAAACUCUACUUGUAUAAUAUGUGCAGCAUGGACAAGAACCCUGAAAUCUCUCUUAGCAUUUUUGCACUUUUUUCCAGUUUUUGUCUAGCUCAUUUUUGACAUUUUUAAUCGUUAACCAGCAGUUGGAAAUAAUUUUAAGUCAAGUAUUUAGGGUUGUUGUAGCCUUUUUUGCAAUGAUAAUGUACUGAGCUUUCAUAAUCUGGUUUGUAGUCGUGCAUUUUUUGACAAAAGGAUCUCUCAGGAAGUUAGUGGAGAUGCUCUUGGGGAGGUAUGAUUCAGCAACAUUUUUAGCAGUUAACAUAUUUGGAAGAUUGCAAUAUCAAAAAAUGUAAACGAUGUGCCAUUUUCAUCCAGGAGUUCAAAGGUUAUGUUUUCAAGAUCAUGGGAGGUUGUGACAAACAAGGUUUCCCCAUGAAGCAGGGAGUGCUAACUCCUGGUCGUGUCCGUCUGCUGCUUCACAGGGGUAUUGAUAUUUUGUUGUGGUUUAUGCAAUCACUUGGAAUUCUUCUUUAGAUGAUUUUGUAAUUUUGGAUAAUUUGUUAAGGUACACCUUGCUUCCGUGGCUAUGGAAGGCGUAACGGAGAGCGUAGGAGGAAGUCAGUUCGUGGUUGCAUUGUUAGCCCUGAUCUCUCAGUUCUGAACUUAGUUAUUGUCAAGAAGGGUGAGAAUGAUCUUCCAGGAUUGACUGACAUUGAGAAGCCGAGAAUGAGGGGACCCAAGAGGGCCUCCAAAAUUCGCAAGCUAUUCAACCUUUCAAAGGAGGAUGAUGUUCGCAAGUAUGUCAAUACGUACCGCCGAACAUUUACAACAAAAUCAGGUGCAGUUUUAUUUUACCAGAUUUUAUUGCCUUUUGACAAUACACCUUUUUCAUUGUUAUUACCUCAAGAGUUACUAAACUAGCUAUUUAAAAAAUUAAGGUGCUGGUUUGUCUACUAGAUUUGCAUUUGACCUCCUCCAGGACUUGAAUCCAGUGCAUGCUUCUGCUACCAUUUCUUGUUGGAGCUUUUAGUGUUGGUGGACUAUAUAUAGUGCACGAAGUUGGGGAGAUUUGUUAGCUUUGCAAUUUCUUUUGCAUACAGUUAACAACCAUCUGUUGUGAUGUUAUUUGGAAGUGGGUUGCUUUUAAGUUACUGCAACAUGCAUUUGAUGGCUAGUCUUUUUCCCUCUCCAAGAGAUGCUUUUCCGAUGUGGAAGUUUUGUCUUGUUUCAUGUUUGAUACAUUCUUUGUAGGCAAGAAGUGCAGCAAGGCACCAAAGAUUCAGAGGCUUGUGACUCCCUUGACCUUGCAGAGGAAGCACUCCAGGAUCGCAGAGAAGAAGAAGAGGAUUGCUAAGGCCAAGUCUGAAGCUGCUGAGUACCAGAAGCUGCUUGCUACCAGGCUCAAGGAGCAGAGGGAGCGCAGGAGUGAGAGCUUGGCCAAGAGGAGGUCCAAGCUUUCUGCCGCCUCCAAGCCAUCCAUUGCAGCCUAGACUAUUGCUUUUUAAGCAGGGAACAAGCUCAAGUAUUUUUUUGCUUCAGUAUUUGUGAUAAACACAGGCUGAUCUCUUUGUUUCUUUGAUGUUGACGUGGAUUUCGCCGACAUUUUCCUGCAUGAUUUUGCAAUCUGCCUGUUAGAUUGUAUUGGACUGGAAUUUAAUUGGCAAUGUGAUGGAGUAGAGUUGAAAACUUGUGCCAGGUCAAAUGCUCGAGAUGGCUUUAGAGACAAAACUGGUCCUAAGUGGAUUUUGAAAUGUGAGAGAAACAUUUUUUGUUUGAUUAUUUCUUCUCAUCAAUAUUUUCGUUAAUGUGGCGUACUUGUCUUAUGGUUCGUUAGCUUCGCAUUGCGACCCGCAGAAGGGGUGAUAGAACUCGUUUUUUCCCAAAUGCAUCUUUUACAAUGCUUGGCCUUAUCAAGCAUGAUGUUCACGAGUACUUGCUGCCAUGGAGCGAGCUUCAAGUCAACUUCAUUAGUUAUAAUACGAUCGUCAGAGGAAACGGAGUAAUUUAUCACCAUUAAUCUACUCUCUGUUACAAAUAUAUCGAAUACUACAUUUAUGCCGACAAAUUGGUGAUCGUGUCCGACGACAUCCGAUACUCGCAACGUAACGGCCAAUACAAAAAUAUAACACUUGUCAUUACAACCGAUAUAUCUCGCAGCGACCGUUAUGCAAACAACGAGAACCCAUAGGAACUUAUCACGACCGAUAUAUCAUCGCAGCGGCCGUUAUGCGAGCAUCGAGAAUCAUAGGAGUUUGUAUGCGGAUACGGCUGCCUAUAAAAGCCGACGAGGAGACUGUGCGCAAGCGCGAUGAGGGACUGAAGGGACGAAGAGAUGGAGGAAGAGGAGCACGAGGUCUAUGGCGGCGAGAUACCCGACGAGGCUGACAUGGACGCCGACGUAGACAUCGGUCGCUCCGACGAGGACGCUGCUAAGGUCAUUACCUCUUCGAUCCUCUCCCACUCUUAGAAAUCCCCUGAAACCCUAACCCUAAUCCCCCUAUUCUUGUCGAUUUGGAUUAGUUGCAGGAACUCGACGAGAUGAAGAAGCGGCUCAAGGAGAUGGAGGAGGAGGCCGCCGCUCUCCGGGAGAUUCAGGCCAAGGUUGAGAAGGAGAUGGGCGCCGCCCAAGGUCCGAUCUCCUCUCCGUCGCUAGGUUUCGCCCCAUCUUCUCGGUGCUUUUGGGUUUGAUGUAUCGUUGAUGAGAUGUUAGAUCCACAUUGCAGUGAAGUUAGAGGUCUUCGGUCACCGUAAUUAAAUUUAUUAAUUCUGCAAUUGAGCAGCUAUUUAUGUGAUUGUAAUAGUGAAGUGCUGCUAGUUUAAACAUAGUUGUGAUCCAGUCACAGAGACUCACUUGAGUGAUAGUGGCAAUUACUUUGUGGGACAGUGAUUUGAUAUUAACAUUUAAGGUAUCAUGGCUUACUUCGAGUUUAGGGCACUCAUGUUUCACACGGGGUUCAUCGUACCGAACCAUGCUGCCCAGUACGAGCGGUAUGUACCAAUCCGACAGAGGCUCGGUACGUGGAUCAUCCUCUAUCGGGUAGUACCAUAACCUCCCCUAUCGAGUGAUACCAAAACCUAACCCCUUAUCGGGCAUUACGGGGUCUAUACCGAGUGGUAACGAUUGAAAUCUGAUCAUUACCGACCAGUAUGGUAACGAUCGAAAUCUGAUCGUUACCGACCUGUACUGGUUGGUAACGAUCUGAGUGCGAUUGUUAUCGAUCAAGGGGAAGAUAGUAGGCAUCAAUCAUAUUGUUGAAAAGAAUUGAGUCAGGCGAUGAAACACCUUCUCAAUCGCAUUCGACAACCUGCUCAAUUCAGUGACAUGGUAGCGACGUGGACAGUAGUAUCUCAACUGAUGAUGGCAGCGAUACCGGGGAGUCGAUGGUCCCGUCUAUAUAAUUUUAGAAUGGUACAUGGAUCAAGUAGUAUUUUACAUAUGUCACCAAAGAUUUAGAUAAGGAAACUCGAUAAGGUACUUAUUAAGUUUAUACAUGGAAGGGGAAGGGGAAGACAAUGGAUGAUUUUGAGUAGAUGCUACAGAGCCUACACAACAUAGACACAAAGCAAAUCUCAUCGUAUUUAUAGCCAUCGUAUCAUGGAAAAUCUUAUGACCAACAAAAGUAUGGGGAUAGUUGGUCAUACUUCUCCGACCAACAGUACGGUGAUCGACCUUAUGAUAUAGAACAACAUAUCAGUGGCGAAAGUUGGGGCUCUCCCCUCACCGCCCCCAUGGGGAUGGUCUACAGGGUUCAUAACUACCUUCUUACUGCAGGACGCUUACCUAGCUAACACUUGGAUCAAAGUUUUGAUAUUUUUUAUUCUUCGCACCAAUAUAUACCACAAUCGUACUUGUCUUGGUAGUCGCCUCGGGCAUGUGUGAUUCACGACAAUCAGAUUACGAUUAUCACUACAUUGAUGCAUUAAUGACACACGAUAUAUCAGUAUACUAUAUCGUGGGAUCAAUUGUAGGAUUGGGUCCGACAAACACGUCAAAUUGAUAUACGAAUACAUAGGAUCGAGGACCUUGAUCCAUUGCUUGUGGAGUCUUGUUGUCCUUUUUGGUGAUAGAACUAGGUAUAUUCAUCGAUCGAUUAUUUGAUUCAUUUGAAUUUUAAAGUUUAAGUUUUUUUUUUUAAAUCUAACAAUUUAAAUCAUUUUAUUUCUUUAUAGAUAAUUCAAUAUUAACGAAAGGAUGGUUUAGAAUGUACUACAAAAUUACUCCUCAAAGCUCAAAAUAAAUGUCAUUAUUCUUUUAUAAUUUAGAUUUUUUUGAUAAAUUUAUACAAAAUUUAUAUUUGUUUUCAACUUAAAAACCUUAAUCUAAUUUUUUUUUUAUUUUUCAGAUAUUUGUGGAGCUAUUUUGAUUCUUUUGGGUGUACUGUUGGUACGUCUCGGUACGUACCAUACUGAUUAUUGGUUGGUAUAUCGGUGCGGAUCGAAAUUAUAAACCUUUGUUUCACAUAAAUAAUUUUCUAAAAUAAUAUUUUAUCAUGUCUCCAAUAACUUUAAAAUAAUGAACCCUAAAUUACCUUACCAUAGUAAAUGCUUAAACUCAAGUUAGUAGUAGGAAGGCCAUCGGGUUUUUUAUGCGACUUCAUACCAAUAUUUGUUUGCAGAGAAACCAUUUAUAAGUAUUUAGCCUUUUAUUGUCUUUUAUGGUGGUUAUACACUAAUGUUUUAUAAGUAUUUUUCCUUUUAUUGUCUUUUAUGGUGGUUGUACACUAAUGUUUUAUUUUUUGUUAAAGUUGAUGUUUUUAGUUUUAUGUUCACAUAUGACUAAAUUCCAAAAAAGUAUAUAAUCAAGUUUCAUCUUGUUAUGUGUAGACCCUGCAGGUUCGGCAGCAACACAAGCAAGCAAGGAGGAGGUUGAUGCUCGUUCUGUAUUUGUUGGCAAUGUGAGUUUCAUUAUUUUACUCUUUUGCAGCUAUAUUGAACAGAUCUAAAUUCAUGCCAACUUUUAGUGUGGCUUAGUAUUUCAUAGCUCCAGCUAUCAGCAUGAUAACCCUGUGAAUAAGAUCUGUAAGCUAAUGGUUUUGUGAUACUCUUAUAUAACAAUUGCACAUGUAUAACAUCUAAUCCUGGUAUUCUCACAAUGGCUCUUGUAAGUUUCUCUUCCUCUGUGGCAUUUCCGAAUGUUCCACUUGGUUAAGAGGACAGCAUUUUUUUUUUUACUUUUGAAAUCUUCUUCUGGCAUUUCUGAAUAUGAUAUAAUAGUUGAUGAAACAAGAUUUUGUGUGCUUCUUUCAGAGUGCUUUUAGUUUCGCCAUGCUGGCUUUACAUUGUUUCUUAGUUCUCUACAGUUCAGCUACCAGGAAGGAACGUUACCGAUGAGAUAUUCAAUCUUACAUUUCAUUUUUUUUCUAACAGCUAUAAAUGUGUGACCUUGUGGCUCUUGGCACAAGUUGGUCCUUUUGAAAUCGAUAGUUCUUCUUUGGAGAUGAAUCAAAAAUACCUUAUUUUCGAUGAUAUCUAAAUUGUUCCACUUUAUCAGCAUUCCAUAUUUUUAUUUUUGCUCCUACCCAACCAAAUAGGUAAACCACAUGGCAGAUAAAAUAUGGAAUGCACGGCGAUUAUUCCUUUGUUUCUUGUUCUAGCUAAUUGCAUAUGCUUACAUUUGGCAUUCAACACCAUAUGUUACUUUGAACAUAAUGCCUAUUCAAUCUGUUGACUUCUUUUCAUGAUCCCAUAUCAAGUAGAAGGAAACAAUUCUUUACUUUUUUGGUCAGUUGACAUCUUUUUUUAUUGAUCGAGACAUAUCUGUCUCUACUUAUCAAGUACUGGGAAAAAUCUUAACAGAAUGUCUAAUAAUGGCCGCAGGUACACUCCUCCCAUAGCGAGUUCUCUGUUACCCAGAAUAGUGGGGUGCUGGGAAGUUCUGAUUUACAAUAAGCUUCUAGUUGAAAGAAAUGAGGGAAAAAAAUCUUUUUUUAUGUUAUAAUCAAGAUAAAGAGUCACCAGAAAGAAGAUAAAAAAAUUCUUGGGAGAGAACUCAGAGAAGAAAAUCAUAGGCCAAAAAAAAAUGAAAAAAAAAAUGCAUAGUGGAAAAAGGGGAGAAGGUAAAUAAGAAAAAAAAUCGUGCUAUGUGCAAUUCUAUGGAUUUUUGAAUAGGAAAAGGAAGAAUGGAGGUUAAAAUAUAGAUAUUUGGCACGGAGAAGUCUGAAUAAAAGAUUGAAUGACUUGGUGAUUUGAAGUUAGGCAAUGGGACAGGUGGUAUGAAGUUCAUUGUACUAGUGGCAUGAUGAAACCCCAUUGUGGACAUGCAACUAGAGAUGCUGAAGGCUGCUUAUUCUUGGUGUUGGAGUUGGAAGAGCUUUGGAUUUUAUGUUGCUUAGUAUUCAAUGGUGAGAGGUCCAAAUUCUUGAUUACUUGCUUGUGGCCUUAUUUUAUACUAUUUUGGUUCACAUCUUGUGACCUCUGGAUUGUACUGAUAGAUAGCAUUCUCUGUUGAUAGGUUCUUGUUCUCUUGUUUUUGUACUUGUCUUCUACUACUACUGUCCUCAUCUCAUUAACUUACACCUGCCUUUGAUAAUUUUUUUUCCAUUUUAGCUUAUACUUAAUCUUGUCAUAAGGUUUAAUAUUGUAUGAUUUUUAAAUAGUACAAGCUGUACUUAAAGAGGUUGAAAACUAGUGAAUCUAUAACAUGUUUGUCAACCGUUUUUCAGACCUAUUCCUUCUUAUUUCUAGUUGAUAUUAUUUCAAUUCCUAUUAUAUUUGUAUUCAUUAAGUGAUUCUCAGCAUUUGGGUUUCUUGAAAGGGAUUUGUUUUUUUUUAAUUUUGUUUUGAAUUUGCUCUUGUUUCUGGUUGCUAUUAGCAUAGAUGCCAUCUUUUUUCUUGAUUACUUUCUUGCAUUCAGUAGCAAAUAAACCAUAAUGUGUCAUUUUUUAAUUUUGUUGAGCUAACAUCACCCUGUAGCAUACUUGAUAGACUGCUGAUAUUGGCAUACUUGACAUGUAGCUAUCUUUGAUUGGUGGCUGAGAUUGUUAAAGAUAUUUUUGAAUGUUAUAUGGUUACAUGGUUCCUCUUCCAUGAAAAAAGGUGUCCCACAAUGUCAUUGCUUUCCUCUUGACAGUAGCCAUAUUGUCUAAGAAUAUUGAUGGCUAUGUGAUUAUUUUUUAACAUUUAUGGACUACAUCUCUCCCUAUAGGGAGAAUGAAAUUAACUGAUUGUGGUACUAUAUUGCAUGAUAAAAUGACUUUGAAAUGGGCUCCCAGUUCUCAUAGCAGGGUUAAGAUCAGCUAGAUGUUCUGCACCCUGUCACCUUCUUUUUUACUACUAAUUUCAUGGUGAAUGUUGAAAAGCUCAUGUUUACUGUCCAGAAGAGGAAUGUAUCUAUUUUUCUGAAUUGUCUUCUCACAAACUUAACACUGGUGGAAAAAGAGGAUCAAGGAGGACAAAUGCAAAAAGCUACAAUGUCGUACUUGAAUAUGAGAGAUUGGUUGAAGGAAAUGAUGUCUAAGGAUGAAUUAUAUCAUUUUGGGGCACAAGCCUAAUGCCAGAUAGAGCAAUGCAGCAGCAUUUUUUACCUAUGUGAAUGGGUUGCAUUAGAAGCUUCACUGGAGUUAAAAACUGAUAUCUGAGAGUUUAUGCAUGGUAUUGAUGAUGAAGACAAUGAUAAUCAAGAUUGUUACAGUUAAAGGUAAUAUCAUGUGUCUAAUGGUACACACUUGUUCUCCUUCAUCAAGUAUGAAUAGAAUCUAGAAGAGAAUAGAGGGAACAGAGGAAAGGAGAAGGGUGUUUGUGUGUGCUCCGAUGUAGGACUUUAGGCUUCCCAUUCUCCAAGUCACCAAGUCCAAAUCGGUUAUAUAAAGUCAUCGUGAAAUGUAGUAUAGAAGUGACUUUCAUCAGGAUUGUGAUCACCAAACUAAUCCAAGUUGGCCACCUACACAGUUCCACUUUUCACACAACACUAGACAUGCUAUAAACUUUAGAACUAGGACAAAUAUACUAUCAACAACACCUGGAGUAAUCUUCCAUGUGAAGUGCAAUUAUUUUUUUGUUAGUACAUGACAGAUCAUGGUUAAUUAAUAUAAAUUAGCUGUUAAAUAAGAUGUGCAUGGUUGUCAUGAAGCUUCUGCAUAACUUGAAAGUGCCCAGUAUUUUCAAAUAAUAUACAUGACGGUGAUACUUUAUGGCUCAAUUAUUGUGUGUACUAAUGCCAAAGGGGAAUAGACCCCAGUCAUAGGGAGCUUAGUAAUAGAAAGCGUUUGGUAAGAGAUCUCUAGUUCAAUGUGGAGAAAAACUUGUUGCUCAUGAAUUUGUGAGAUGAAGACCAUUAAAGUUUGUUAUGAUGAUGUUCAGUGAGGAGUGGAAGUUUUCAGAAGAACAUGUAAGAAAAAUAUAUGGACUAUGUAAGUUGUCUUCGAGGAGGCAUGAGUUCCCUGGCACACAACUAAUCCAACAUUAUUUGACUGGAUCAGGGAUUAGAUAGUGCAAGAACUUUUUUAGCAGUCUUUGGUGAUAGAGUUCAAUCUUAUUGGAAUUCCUGAACCGCAUGACCCUUGUAGCUUGGUCUUUCUUUCUCAUGUAAGCCUUUCUGCUGUAAACUAGUAAUUUAUUCUCUUAGGAGUUUCUUAUCACUGGUUCCUAGUUAAAACAGUAAUUUUUUUUAUCGUAUGAAUAAAAACAACAUGGGAAAUUGGUAGGCUAAAAAUCCUUCAGAAAAACAUUAACUUUGGGUUAAUGCAUUGUUUUAUUUGAGACUGUGGAUGUAUAAGUGGACAUGCUGAGGUAAUCUUUUAUGAGAGUAGAUUACCAUCUUGAGACUACCUUAGUUAAUCCUUGAAUUUCCUGUAUAUAUCAAUCAAAACUUGACUAAAGAAAUAAUGACUGUAAUAUCUGUUUAUGAGUGCAAAAUGGCCUGCUUUUUAAAGUACUCUGGUUAACGGUUAUAUGGAGAACACCUCAUAUUUGAAGCUUUGGUAGAACUUUAUUGUUUUUAUUAUUUUGAAGUUUAGAUACACGAAGAAGUUUCAUGUUCUUAUUGUUUUGGUUAUUUAUCAUGAGAAUAGUGGUUUCGAUGAGGAUCAAGUCUUUUUCUCUCCACAUUGUUAUAAGCAAUGAAUGGUAUCAAACUGCAGGUGGAUUAUGCUUGCACACCCGAAGAAGUACAGCAGCAUUUCCAAUCAUGUGGGACGGUUAAUAGGGUUACCAUCCUGACAGACAAAUUUGGUCAGCCGAAGGGUUUUGCCUAUGUUGAAUUUCUGGAGCUCGAGGCUGUUCAGGAUGCUCUUCAGUUGAAUGAAUCCGAACUGCAUGGUCGCCAAAUCAAAGUCUGUUUAGACUCAAAUCUAUUUUUUUUUAAUUUCUACUUUUCGAAGUGAAAAUAAUCAAGAUUCAUAUCUUUUUUUCUUUUUUUUUUUGUAAUGAAAGGGAUGCCUCUUUGCAGGUUGCUGCUAAACGUACUAAUGUUCCAGGAAUGAAGCAAUUCCAUCCAAGGCGGUUUAAUCCCUACAUGGGAUACCCAUAUAGGAGGCCCUACAUGCCACCAUACUUUGCCUCCCCUUAUGGAUUUGGGUUGGUGCUCCAUUUUUCCUCUUUGCCUGCAUUCUUUAUUGCUACAGAGGUUCUUCCAAAGACUUGACAUAUGUAUAAACUAAUGGCUGAACUUGUUGAAUGUCUUUACAGGAAGGUGCCUAGAUUCAGAAGGCCAAUGCGCUUUAGGCCUUAUUACUGAUCAGUUGCGAGCCUUAUUAGCUAGUAUGUCAUUGGUGCAACCGUUAUGGGAACAUCGCUGAGGUUUGUUGCAGUUUGGAAUUUAAUGGGUGAAAAAGAAAAUCCUACCUAUACACCCGAGACCAAAGCAUCAAGAGAUUUCCAUUGUCACUCUCACUUUUUAUAGCUUGAUUGCUGGCUAUAUUUUACCUUCCUGCUGCCAGUUUGCUUUAUGAUGGAUAACAUGUGCUGCUUUCGAUGACUGUCCCCAACCGCUGAGCCUUUGGAUUAGUCAUACGGCUUGAGGGUUACUUGAGAUGGCGGGGUUGGUGUUUUGCUUUUAUACAUGUUUCCACUGCAGUAUGGAAUCAUGAUUACUCACGCCUAUGUCACGUCUCUAGUGUCCGUGAGUGCAUGCUUCCUGUGCCGGCUCGUGGGUUGAUGUCAUGAUUCGAGUAUCUUGACAACAAGAGGGCGAAAGGAGAAGUCCAGCAGUGAGGCUUUGAAGUCUGCAUCGUUAACCAGGCGCAUCUUGGAUUUGUCCAAGGAUAGAAAGAAGAACACACUACGUCCAACCAUGCUUUUCUACUCGAGGGGUUCAUGGAUUAUUUCUCACGUAUUAACAGAGUAUAAUCAACGAGUAUUGCGAUGGAAACUAUACAUAAAUCAUCAACCGGUCCGGUUCUGGUAUAAGGUCGGUUGCAUAAAAAAUCAGCCAGGACUAAAUAACCCAGUUGGUUCGAAAAGGAUGAGAAGAAUAAAACUGGAAAAGAACAAGAACAAGAGCUGAAGAGAUUGGUACGAAAAAGGAAUAAGGCAAAUCAGAAGUAGAUGAGGAACGAAAUUAUAAAUAAAUGUUGUAUUAGAUCUAGAGCCACUAAUUUCUUCGGCAAACUAGUGAAACUAAGUAUGACAGGGUCGAUCAUCAACUAGGUUAUGGAGAUAUGCAAGUCUUUGGAUUCCAUCGACACAGAUGAGCCAAACCUGAUUCCAUUGGUAUGAGGUGGUCGAUGAAUCUCUCAAUCAUCUCACGAAUGAGAAGAUUGGAACGAAGAUAGGAAUAAGGCAAAACAGAAGUAGAUGAAGAACGAAAAUAUAAAUAAAUGUUUUAUUAGAUCUAGAGCCACUAAUUUCUUCGGCAAACUAGUGAACCUAAGUAUGACAGGGUCGAUCAUCAACUCGGUUCUGGAGAGAUGCAAGUCUUUGGAUUCCAUCGACACAGAUGAGCCAAACCUGAUUCCAUUGGUAUGAGGUGGUCGAUGAAUCUCUCAAUCAUCUCACGAAAGAGAAGACUUUGCUCAGACUUGAUCACGACACAGACAAUGAGAAAACAGAAGAGAUCAGGUAAUCCAUCUUAAGGUUUCUAAUCAAUCAACCACUUAUUUCUGCUGAUGCUCUCAGCCGAUUGUCUUAAAUUACCCACAUAUCCUAAAAUGAUCUCAAACUUAGUACAUCCUAUAACCCGAUCUUGAUGGAAAGUUGAAUCAUAUCACCUCAUCAGACAAACUGAAUUCAGAUAAUCUUCUACUUAACACCCCUAUUUCUUUGUAGAGAUUGAGUGCUGACGGCUCUUUGAUCUCUGUCUGCUUCUCUUCUGUUCGCUGCCACCGCUACCCACUCCCCGGUGGCUGCUUCCCUCCCCAGUCCUGCUCCUGGCUGAAGAGAUUGGCAACUGGCUUACUCGUCUUGUUAGCUUUCGUCGCGAGCUCCACCCAUUGUUCCCUAGUGCAGCCUUGGCAACGCUGUCGGUGGCCGCCUCCCUUCCCCUCUGGGACUUGAUGGACUGCUUGUUCAGAUAGAUAAGCUGAGGCAGGAAGCUGCUGAUGGCUUUUCGAAGCUGCUCUUCACCAUUGUUGCUCUGAAUUGGGUUCCCAAGCAGGUUAAGAGCCAAGAGGGAUUUGUAGUUGGCGACGAGCUGCCCCAAGGCCUUUGUUGUAAUUAUCUUGUUGAAGCUCAAGUCAAGAACUGUGAGCUUCAGGAGCCUGUGGAGCCCCUCGACGUAGCUGAUCCUAUUCCCGGCUACAUACAGCUCUUUGAUGAGAGUGCAAUUUGACAGUCCUGUAAUAUUUAUGCGUCAUCACUUUUUGUAAUCAUCAUGCUUUCAACAACAAUAUCAAGUUGAAAAUCCAUAUGAUUUUGGAAGCCACAUUAAUCUAAUACUUUUCAGCAGUUCAGUAAUUCAAGUCACAUUGCCUAGAAAUAGGAUUUGCAGAUUGUCCACAGAUAUACUCGAUCACAACGAAGUUACUUUAUCAAUUGGAUCUCCAUAGCUAAACAAAUCAAUCAUUUACUUCAGAGGACAUUAUUGUCAUGAAAUCUAUGAUCUAAAAAUCAUAAAUAAUUCUCACUGAAAAAAAGGGAUACCAACUUCUGAAUGAUACAAGUGAACAAUUAACACUUCAAAUCUCCUUGGUAUUAUUUACUUCCAAUUAUGGAUCCACCUGAAGUGACUUGAAUUAUUCCUUCCAACAAUAGAUGACCCGAAAUGCAUAUUUGUUUGGUUAGAUAGAAGUGCUUUCCUCGUGGAAACUAACAUGAUGCCAAAUCAACACUACCGUAGCUAUUAAGAAUGCUGGAAGCAUGUUCAACAACUAAAGCAACAAGGAUAGGUAUUGCUUACCAUGGCCAAUGCGUGAGAUUCUGUUGUAGCUGAGAUUAAGAACUCGCAGCCUCAUUAGUUCUCUGAGUCCCUCAAUUAUUGCGAUCUUGUUCUUAGACAAAUCGAGUGUAUGAAGAUUCUUAGGGAGCGAUCCUGAAGAAAUGUGAACUGCAGCAAAAGCAAUAGGCCAUGUGCAUAGAUAAGUUUAAGGGGCAGUCAUCAUAUAAGAAAUCAUAUUCCAAUUGAGUACCAAGGAUGUUGGUUCAUACCUAUUGAGUUUCCAGAUAAAUUAACAGACCGGAGACUGUUGAAAGCCGAAAUUGCUGGUAUAACUCUCAAGCCCAGACCGGCGAUGUGAGCCACAGGGGAAAAGGAACAUAGUGAUUGGAUAAUGUUGUUGGUCUGUAUAACCUUCCCAACUGCAUGCCGGACAUUGUGAGAUUGCUUUGUUCCUGAGGUUUCCCCAGUCUCAUGACAAGUUGCAUAUGACACUACCUCUUCUGCUGCUUCACCAUUGUCGGUUGGGCAGAAUGGACUACCCUCGAGACUGUGAACCCAAGCAUUAACUCUAUCUAACAAGGAAGAUUCUGCAGAAAAAGCAAUCCACUGAUUCUGAGGCCACAAGUCAGCGUUACUUAUAAUCUCUGGUCGCUCCAUGUCUGACUCGUUCUUCGUCUGAAAACAAGGGUUUGGUUUAAGUGUAUCUGAGCAAUAACCAACAUUGUUUUUCGAUGUAUCAUCGAUGGCAAUCUUCUGUGGCACUGAAACCCAAGGCUUGUGACAAUUCCUAUGGCUAAAGAGAAAAAGCUUCCACCAAAGUUUCGUACUCCUCGAUGGAAGCACUUGGCACGAAGAUCUCUUAUUUAGCAAAGCCUUGUCUGCGCUGACUGAGGUCAUUACUGACAAUGGGCUGCCAGGAAUGUCAUCGGUUGCUUCACCACCAAGAUUACCCCAUGUGUUAUAGACCUCGUCGGAGGAAUUGGACUUGGUAGGCGACCUAGUCAAUUUACCAACUCUCAUGGUCUCAAUGUUUGAGCAUGAGCGCUUCAGCACAGGUGAUCCCCAGAACAUUGACUUCUGCCCCAUUCCGGGAUCACUAACAUGCCCAUUGUGUAUGCUCACUUCCGGAGUGAUCACAUCAAAUUUCUCCAACUUGUCCUCCAACCCAUCAUUGAACAAUUCUUGAUCCCAACCUUUGGAACCGAUGUCGUCUUUCUCCACUGCUAAGGCUUGGAGAUCAAAGUCAGAGAAGUCUCUCUUCAUAGAUAAAUCCUCAUCAUGCUCAUCACUUCCCUCAUAUGAUGCCUCAGUUAGCACUGAUUUGUCAUCCACCGCCACUUUUGCAUUCUUUGCAAAGCUUUCUCCCGGAGUUACUUCUGUUACAGCAUUCUCGGUGGAUCGGUCAUCAAAUUCCUCAGGAUUAACUCUUAGGUCCCCAUUGCCAUUGAGAUUUUUAGCAACCGUGAACGACUCCUAGGAGCAAUGGUAGUCAAUAGGUAUAGUCAGCAUCAAUUAGAAGAGUAGAGAAUCGAAAACAAAAGCCCGAAAACGUGACUCUUACCUUCGACUUCUUCUUUGUAGCAAAAAGAAAAGAGAAGCAACUGAUUUUUGCCAUCUUUCUCGAUACUGAAUUGAUCUCAGAAGACCACAAAGUCAGACAAUCCUAAUAAAAUUCCCUUGCAGUUGCCAGACCGGCUACCAAAACUUAUAGUAGCCAGCAAAGACCUUCCGCACAAAGCUACAUGAAGAUGUUCUCUAUCGCAGGGAUUAGCCGUUGUCGAAAGGAGAUCCUUUCAGCACGCGACAAAGAAGGCCAACAAGUAGAACAGUGGAGAUUGGAGUCGAGCAGAGAGGCAAGAGCGCAUCCUCCUGAUCCCACACCUUUCUCAAGGUGCAAGGAGAUGGUACCUCAGGGACGGCCAGAGUGAUCUAAGAACACCUUCGAUGUCAGUUGUGGUCCGUUUCGAAUCCCUCAAUGGUUGAUGACAACCCUGAGAUGUAAUGGAAAGCAGAAAGUUAGAUCUCGUAGAGCCCAAACAGCAUACAAUCCAAUAGAGGAAAAAAACGCAACUUGUGCUUCUCCCAUGGUUCCUUUCCAGGUCCAGAGGAGACAACAACACAACCAGAGAUGUGGCACCAACAAGAAGUUACAGAGAAGACAAAAAAGAUUCUCCCGUUCGAUCGGGUAAAGAGUUCAGGGGAAGAAAGAGGGAUCUGAACACAAGAAAACCCUAGAAAAGGAAGAUUUGUUUCCCCUACCGAUCCAAAACUAUCAGAAGGAUCACUAUUUACCUACUGCAACGUAUUGUUUCCCCAAUAUUACGAAAACCAAAGCGAUGAAUGAGCACAAAAGAUGGUUGUACUAUUUCGAAUAAGAAUAGAUUCCGAUAAAACAAACAAAGUAUCGAUCCAGAAUCCAAUGUAAAUAAAAAUCGUUUCUUUCUCUAAUCCCGAAAUGACACGGAACGAGGAACAAACGCCUUCCUUUCUGAUGCCUUCGCCACGAACAGAACUCGAUAAAAGAAGUCUUUCUUGAAAGAAAGAUCACGACAACCGGGAAUCAAAGAAGAAAGAAUCCAACCUCCUUUCGUUUCUACUCUGAAACAGAGGACAACAAAGAAGUGGAACCACCAUAACUCGUAAGAAUCCCCACCUUUAGCCUUUCCUACCCCUCCGCACCGACUCAAACUACUGGAAUCAGGAGAAACCCGAAGAAGACAAUGUUUCAAAUGGUUUCCGCGGGGGAAAAGAUGGUACCUGAGGAAGCCACCGAGAACUCCGCCGUAGAGAGAUCAGAGAGAGGAGGAAGCUUGGGGACGAAGGGGGGAGAGCGGCAGCAGUGGCGCUUGGGAGAGAAGGGUUUGGGUCGAUGGGAACGUGGUGGCAGCGGAUAGAUAUAGGCGGGCGGGCGGGUGGGCGGCCAAGUGCCGCCGCUGGCUGCGGAAGCUGUAGACGCGCAGGAAACGUGUGAGGUUGAGUCGGUGGCUCCACGGACUUACCCCUUGUGAACCGGACUGACUCUGGUCGAGCUUAUAUACGUCUCAGUAAAUUUGGCCCAAUUCCUACACGAAUACAAUUAUACUGCGGUCACAUUCCUCAUCAUCAUCAACAACAACAACAAUAAUAACAAUAAUAAUAAUAAUAAUAAUAAUAAUGUGAUAAAUAUUUAGAUUAUUUGGAAUCUAUCACAUUACGAUCUUACAGCUGUCAAAGUAUUCUGUUUCAAGGUUGACAAUCUCGAGGAAGCUGCGGCUGUUUAGGAAAUGGUGGCUCUGAUAGAGAGAGAAUUCUCAGUUGCCUUCUUCCGGGAAUCUACUCUCUCUCUCUCUCUGUCUCCUUUGGCUGCUGCUGCAGCAGCAUUUGGAUCUCAUCGUGCAUCUCCUUUCUCUCUCUCUCUCUCUGUCUCCUUUGGCUGCUGCUGCAGCAUUUGGAUCUCAGCAUGCAUCUCCUUUUACCCAAACUCUCUCUCUCUCUCUCUCUCUCUGCUUUGGACUCCAUCUUCCUCUGUUCUUGUUGUGUUCUUCAAGUAGGGAGGAUCUUUGCUAUCAUAUUGUGUGAGUCAUUGAUCUUUGUGUGAGUCGGUUUGUUCUAUGGACACAGAUCUUUGGAAGAGAGAGAGCAGAAGGUGGGUGGCGAUGUGUGGAAGGGAGUAAAAGAUCGCUGAUGGCUGCCUAAUAAUCUUUCACGUUCUUCUUCUUCCCAAAUAAUUUUCUUUUUGGAAUAUAUAUAUAUAUAUAUAUAUAUAUAUAUAUAUAUUUUAAUUUUUCAUAAUAGAUAACUUAUUAAAUUUGUAGAAGACUUUUUAAACUAUUAAAUAUUUAAUUUAAAUAAUAAAUACUUGAAAUGGAUAUAAAUAAUUCAUUUUAGUUCAUAUGACUAAAAUAUGGUUUGAAAGUUUUUAGGCAUCUACAUAUUCAUACUAUUUAUUGAAGAAAAUAAAAAUGAUGUGAGAUAAGUUUGACCUUUAUCCAUUACCUGUAUGAGAAAAUAAUCAAAUAAUAUUUAUUAUCUAUAUAGGGCGCAUGAGACGCAAGAGAUAUUAUUCGCAUAGAAAAAAAAAGAUACAAGAGAUAUAAUUGUUUGGACAAGAAGUAUCAGAAAAAUUAAACAUUACUAAUCGAACACAAACGACACACAGAGAAAGCGAAAAAUUAUUUUACGCCACUUAAUAUAUACGAUAUGAUGUGUCAUAUUGAAUUUUUUUUUUGCGAAUUAUAUUUUUUUAUAGAGAUUAUUUAAAUUUUAUGACCUUCCUUAUUUUGAGCGUAAUUGAGUGUGAGAAAAGUACUUGAGGACGAAGGAAACAGCUACUAAGUUUUUUUUUUUCCUAUUUGUAUAAAUUAGAUAUCAAGCUAUUAGCACAUUAGCAACACCAAUGUCACAAAAAAAAGUAGAUAAAUAAAGGCUCCAUAAAUAUGAAAUGACACAUUUAUAUGGAAUAUAUAUAUAUAUAUAUAUAUAUAUAUAUAUAUAUAUAUAUAUAUAUAUGGGUUAAAUGAUAUAAAUUAUUUUCAUUAACUACAAUUGACAGGGUUAGGAAUAAUUUUAUUUAUGAAGAAUAUGACGAAUAAACAAAAAAGAGAGAAAGAUUAAAUUGAUCAAUUUCACUACCAAUUCUUUAGAUUUUUAUAUCAAGAAAUGAAGUCAACUAUUUCGGUUACCUAAUUAAUCUUCUCGUUGGACGACUCAAUAACACCAUGUUUUUUAUCUUCCUCCGCCGGCAUCAAAUUUCUGAACAUUCCUCCUUCAUCGUUUUGCUCGACCUCUCUCUCUGCACACUACAUGUAUAGACACAUGAAAAGCAUGAAGAGUUGGACUGAUGACAAUCUUAGACUUUUCUGUCUCCUUACUUACUUAUUUUGAAUAUUUAUUUUUAUUUUUUGUUUUAUUUAUAGACCUAACUAUUGUAUAUUUUAUUUAUAGACCUAACUAGUCAUAUAUAUAUUAUAUGACUGACAACCUGCAGCAGCCAAAGAGUCACUUCCUUUGACUCUUUUGGGGAAGAAAAGGGCAGGAAAGAUGACGCCCAAACUACAUUCCAUUUCAAGUGAGCAGCCAAAGUCUGCAUCAGUAUCCUUACCAGCUCAAAGUUUAGGCAGAUUACAACUUUGACUUGUUUCUGCUUGCUCAGCAGGAAACUUCCACACCAUCUGGCAACAAGUUCCUCAGAGGAGGAACCACCCUAUGUUGACCAAUCAUAUCCAUUAAAUUGUCACGAGGAAUGGUGAACACUUCCAUGUGCUUGCCAUCACUAAUUAACUAUUCGAUGAUUUUUCUUUUUCUUUUUUAUUAUCUUCUGUUCUUCAUGAGAUUCCUUUUAAUCCUCCGAAUUUGGAACCCUUUCUGUCUCUUUCAGUUCAAAUUUAGGGUCAAACUGCUGUUCUUUAAAUAGCAACAUCAGAUGGAAGACUUUAAUAUCCUCCUAGCAGGAGAAUUACCAGAAUAACCUGCCAAGUCUAUGAAACAUCCUGUGGUAAGCCAACUAAAAUGCAAGUUGAUGUGGAGCCUCAGUGGCAACCAUACCUUGUUGACCAAUUCCUCUUUGGAGGGCUGAUCCAUCUGUAUCUGCAAUUUGUCUCAGUCCUACUAAGGCCUGCCAACUUUGAAAAGAAAAAGGGAAAUAUCAGAUGCAUUCUUAUGUUUGUUGAUUUAUUUAUUCAUUCUUUUAUAAAAAAUAAGAAGAGCAGAUCUUCUCAUGCAAAGAAUUCUUUGAGGUUGGAAGAGAGAUUCUGUAAUAUGCAUGUAAUUUUAUGGCUACAAGAGAUUUUGUCAGACAACUGACAUGUUAACUUGACAGGACUAGAACCACAUGAUCCAAAAUAUUUAAGCACAAAUCAGUAGUAAUACACCUAUCAAAUACUUAUAAAUCAAUUCAAAAUGGGAUGCUGCAUGAUGCCUAUUUGGAUUACAUACAUUUAUGUUAUAUUUAUGCUGUUUAAAUAAAAAAAUUACAUCACUUAGCUUUCCCACAUUCUCAUAGCUAUAUUUCUUUCUAGUAACAAGCCAUAAGAAUUUGAUAUCUGCAAUAAACUAGAUUCAUUGUUCUUUAGCUGCAUUUCAUUGGCACAACAAUGAACACACUGAUUCUGGUGACAACCAAGAUAUCAAUUCAACAGGUCAAAUUACACAGCUGCCUCUUCUUGGCAUCUUGAAUGAAUAGAAAAAGGAUCCACUAAAUUAGAAUAGAAAAUUCAAUCAUUUUUAAGCAUAUAACGAAAAGGCAAAGCAUGAUCCAGCUUCCAGUGUUAACAAGUAGCCAAGAAAUAGAAGGCAAAGCCAUCUAACCAAUCUUGAGAACUCAGUUUCCGUGCCAACAAACACAUAGAGAAACUUUCAUUAACUAAUGUGCCGAAGAAAUCAAACAAUACCACACUCGCCAAACCCUAAUGAAGGAAGAAGCAAUUUACAGAAGAAUCGAACCGCACAAGAGAUCUAAUUUAGUUCCUACCAUCUGGUAGGCAAUGACAGACUGCACCAUUGCGCACAUCCAGCUCGAGGUUUAUGCCAUCCUGCAUGUGUCUAUUGAUGACUUCCUCAAGGUCGUCCAUAACCAUCACACCUCUGUGCCCUUAGUUGGACAACAAUGCAAGAGAUGUCAUCUUUGCUAGCUUUAUUCACUGCUUCAGCUGUCAAAAGCCUAGCUGCUGCUUGUGGAUCCUUAGCCUUUCUAGCAAUAUCGACUGCAUCUUCAUUGCCCAUGACCUAAACAGGAUCGGUAAAAUCCAUGUAUUUGGAUGUUGGUCAGCUAAUUAAUACAUAAGGGAGUACUCGAUUACUGGCUUAAAAGGCCUAAGAUGCAAACCUUCCACAGGCCAUCACUUGCAAGGAUGAGUAGAUCACAAUCAGCAGUCACAUCUUCAAAGCGUAUAUCGGGAUCUGAGCUCAAAUGGGAUUUGAGGCUCUUGUCUCCAAAAGCACGGGAAACAGCCAAUUGACCAUUAACUCUGGGAACGUCUCCUGAUAUCAUAAUAUUAUAACAAUCAGCAUUUGUCUCAACUGAUAUGGAUCCUUGUUUCAGAUACAAAUGAUAACAUCAUGAAGAAUAUAUUACAUGUUUACCUUCUUUCUUUUUUGGGCAAAGGAUAAGGGGUGAAGAUGAAACUUGAUCUAAAGACUUUACUGUCCACCGUCAAAGCUUAAGCUAGCUGACAAAUAUGUCAUAUGAGAUUUCGAAUCUCAACCUUCAAAUAUGUCGGAUGAGAUUUAAAACCUCAACCUUUGAUAAGUGAGUGUAUUUAACCCUCAAAUAAUUGGUGUAUGCUGUGUUGUGCGUCGAGCAUAUUUGAUUGAAUGUUUCAUAUAAAAUAAGUAAAAGCCCAAUUUUUCAACAAAAAAAAAAUCACAGAUAACAUGCCUGAGAUCCUAAUUAUGUAUUAAUGUCUCACAAAGAUGCUAAAUAUAGCCAAAUUUCUCAUGUCGGAUGAAAGAUAAACUAUAAGAUGAUAUAGAAGCAUUUGCUAUCCCCAAAGUACCAACUUUUUAGAGGCAAAGCCAAUAAGACAAGGUUUCAGAUAAGAAGUGAUGCAUAGUACGAACAAGGUUUCAUCUUUCAUGUUUCAAAUGUAAGAAGAUUAAGUAUAAGCUCUUAAGUAGGGAACAUGUGUAGCAACAUGAAACCUUAUAUUCAUCAAGUUGAAAUAUUCAUUAGGUUUUGCAAUUUCCUUUGAACUUGGCGUAAAUUGUUUUCAGAAUAUUUAUAGUUGCAAGAAGCUACUCAUUCAUAGCCAUUCUGGUUGCUAAGAUGUAAAUAAAGUUAGAUGCAAUCGAAAGUUGAAAUUGUAGGGAGUUGGCUUGAAGAGAAAAGGAUGCAUGUAUGAGACUUCUUGAGGACAAUGUACAAACCUGGCAUGUUCGAGACAAAUCCACCUCUAUUCUCGAUACUUCCACGUUCAGUGCUGGGUUCAUGAUCAACAGUCAAUUGUAUAACCUCUCUACCUUUUGCAAGAACAGCUCGUGAAUCACCAAUGUUAGCAAUCCACAAUCUCCUUCCAUUCAUGAGAAUUGCAGUAACAGCUGUCGAUCCACCUUGUCCUAGAUCGGGACUUUGUGACAAAAUUGCCUUGUCAGUCUUUCCAUAGGCUUUGAAAAUUGCUCCUCCUGGAUCAUUCCAAAAAUCUUCCUAAAUCAUGAAAGAAAAAUAGAUUUAGAUAAUUUACUCGCUAGUAGUUGCUUGUUUUCAUGAAAAAAAUAAUUAAAAGUUGAUAUUUUAUCAUAGAAAACAUAGAAAAGGAAAAUAAAAAAAAAGUCAUAUCACACCUCUUUAAGAAUGUUAGUAAACAGAUGCUUCUGUAAAUAGGCAGGUACAUCAUCACCCAAAUGACCAUCAAAUAUAGCAAAGAGACCAAGCUCCUGCCCCCUUAUCUGGAUGAACUUUGCAACAUGAUAAUCUUCCAUUGGAUGAUUAGCCCUCCCCUUUACAAGACUAAAACCAUAAGUAAUUUUUACACCACUCAGAGAACUUUUUCCUUUACCAGCAUCAUUUGAAGAAUGACCUGCAAGCUAUAUCGCAGCAAUUUUCAACCUAAUGACGUGAUGAGGUGGAUGGCACUGAAAUUUCCGAGUCUAUGGGAGCUAACAUAAGAUGAAAGAUGAUAAUCUCCAGAGACUGGUAACUAGAAUUGUAACAGAAGCAUUCUAUCAUGUAAAUAUGAAUAACCUCAGAGGUAAUAUGUGCAACACUCUGAGUUUAAUUUCACAAAAUUGAAGAUAGUUUCUAAUAAUAGAAAAAAACAGCAUGAACAUAAUCCUUAUAGAGCACUGAUUAUGUAUCUACUUCAAAUCAUUUAGUGUAUAAAGAUGCUAUUCAAGAGCAGAUGACUCCUAUAAGGGAACCACAAUCCAAAGAACUAAAAAGUAACUGGACUUAGUUGCCCCCUUUUCCAUAUCUGAUUCUAGUUCAGAUUAUGUUGAGUUGCUUCCUUGCUUAUUUGAGCCUUAGAAAAAAAACUAGAAUAUCGUUUUCCAUAUGUCGGAUGACACAAAAAUGAAAUUUUACAAAUAAAUCUUUUGAGUUAAACAAGCCAAAAAGCUUGCAUAGGCAUAUCUCAUUGUACUGAUAUCUUUCUCGUGCAUGCCAGUACUUUCUCUAUAUCUGACUCUGGUUCAGGUUUGCUUUAGUGGCUCCCUUGCUCAUUUGAGCCGUAGAAAAAAUUAGCUUCUCAUAGCAAAACCUGUCACUUUGAUGGCAUGAGUAAAAAUUGUGAGUAAAAUUUAGUUUGAAUGCACCUUGACUGCAUGAGAUUGAAUGCAGAAAACAUCAAAAACUCUUUAUCUAAAAACUACACAUUUAAGUCUGUGGCAGCUCCAAAUCAGCCGAAAUUUUCCUCGCCAAAAGAUUGGCAGUAGUGUUAGAUGCUGAAUUGUCAUCGGGUUGACACCACCAACUAUUUUCUGCAGUCUGGCAUCAGGCUUAGUGGUCAUGGGUCUCUCUCGUAUGGCCUUUCAACUUUUAACCGGAGUGUAUGACCGAUCAGACGGCUCAAUGCACAUAUUCUAUACUUUUGAGUCUACUGAACUUUCAGUUCCGCCUGUAGUUACUUAACUCUAGGAAUUGAUCCUAUACGAUGGUUGGCAUCUGAACAGAUUCUUGUUAGCUCGCCAAACAAGUAAUGCAGCUACACCCAUAGCUUUUUAAAUCUUACAAAUUAUUGAGGAAAUUCUUUUUUUCUGGUAAGAAUGUUCUUCAAGUCCAAACAUUCUUGUCCUUCGUAUUUUCAAGGGUAUCUUUGCUGCAAAACGAAAAACUAUAGUCAAUUCUUCCAAAUAUAUUUCUAAAUUUCCUUAGCGUUUGAUAAUGUAGUGAGUUCCUAAAAGAGUAAUCACUAACCGAGGGUGGACUUCCUAUAAAGAACAGAAGAACUGUUAUUUGAACAAGGUAAUGAAAUUGAUCAAGUCCCAAAAGGAAAUUAAUUCCUAAUAUGAGACAGUGCUGAUGGAAACAUUAUGGACAUGGAAAAGAAAAACCAGAGGGCUCAACUGUUCUUUAAUUUCCCCACUCCACCGGUCAAAGACUGAUAGAAAAGGAAACAGAAAUGGAACUCCGAUCAAUCUAAAACUAGAAAUUUCCAAUGCCCAACAUAUCAAGAAUCCAUAUACCAUAAACAAGGCAUAAGAAAAACAAUCUACGUCAAGCGAUCUCUCACCUGAGAGCAGGAACCACUGAAGCAGCAUAACUUGUCCAUAAGAAUCCCCAGAUAUACUCCCACCAGCUAAAUCCUGAAGUGCUCAUCCAUACCAAUCCCGCAGUAUGCGAUUUCGAAGACGGUCACACCGCUAAAACCCUCGAUCCCAAAAGAGAACCCCCACCGAUUCCGCGAAAUCGUCCGCCAAGAUCAAACCUUUAUCCAAGAUUUGGUGGCGACGACGAGCGCAAAGAUCGGAUCUUUAUGUCCCUCUUGAAGCAAAAAAGAAUCGAUUUGGGGAAGACGAGAGAAGCGACCAAAGCGCCGAUUGUGAAAUAGCAAGAGGAGGAGGGGCGGGGCCACAGCGACAGGCUCCCAUCUGUUGACUUUGCUGGCUCCCGGUACGGCACGACACACAUGCAAGUAUUGACCCCCGUGAGGUGAUGGGACAGCGAAGAGUGGAAUUUAUUGGGAACUGCCCGCUGCCUACCGUCGUCCUCCCCAACGCAUCCACACAGUCCUUUCGGCGCAGGUGUGGGCACCAAAGACAAAGGAAGUGGUUGACCCGAUUUGACUUGACUGCCCCACGUUGAGACCUCCCAUGUUGUGCCAAUCGGCUGCUGCUUAGAUUCCAAAAGAAAAGUUGACCAAGUGCUCUCGUGAGUUGCAGCGGCAGACCGACCACGGCGGUCCCCCCGCCCCUUGCACCCAUUAAAAUCCAAGGGGAAGCAUUUGACCUCACUUCCUGCGCCGGCCGAGGCAGGGUUCAGGAUUUUUCAACCACACCAGACGACGGAUCCCCAUCGCCGACCGAUGGAUUGCCAACAAAACCUGAACCCUGAGAGAACCCUGAUACCGCAGCAGUUUGACCGGGCAGACAAUUAAUGUCGCACAGGCAUGGAAGUGCUGCUACAGUGUGAAGACGAUCUCUCUCUCCAUCACGAUACAGUGACGGAUUUAAUGUGCGCCAACUACAUACAUGCACUGUUUGAGAAGAAGGACGCACCUUCGUCGGCGGAGAGGUUGAAGGAUGAUGCUGACACUGACACUUGGGUAGUACUUUUGGUGAUCCAACAAGUAUCAACUCUAACCUAAUCAGAUCAAGGAUUUAGGUUGUCAAAAUGCACGAGAAGAAGUGAUAACAUAUAGUGCACUUAUGCCAUAUACAGGAAAUCCACAUUUACCUCUUUGGAAGAUUAAGCUGAAAUCAUCACCUUUGGAGUUGCCAAAACAGAAGCUUGUGUGUAAUUCAAGGGAAAAAUCACCUAUGAGCAACAUGGCCUGAUCCUAUAAUAAUCCUGUUGAAACAAAAGAAUGGAAAAGGAAGCGACAGAAAGGAAUAUAAUGUAAGAGAAAAAGACACAAAGGUAGCAUUAGUGGAGAGUGGAGUAGGAAAAACCAGAACAAAUUGAGUUGCCAAAGGGACUAGCUUGAUGUGAACACAUGUCCCUACCACUUGUAAGGGUGAUUGUUUGUCACCUUUAGAGAGAUGGAAUUUAAAUCUGCAUACAACAAAAGAAAGAACAGUCAUCAUUAGAUUAAAAAGGAUAACAUGUUAGCAAAAUGUUGUAGAACAAAAAGAAACAAAGGUGGUGCUUUAGAGCACCACCAAAGGGAAUGAUUACACAUGGUCCACUGGAAAAGGGUAGAAGAGUGUGAUAGACAAGAUCAUUCUUUACAGAGUCAAAAGUCCUUAAGCUGAUGCUCUAAAGUGAGAAUAAUAUUAGAAUCAAGAAAUUAUCAAAAGUAAUGUAAAAAAAAUCCUCUAAUUAUUCAUGCAGAAACAAGUGUACUCUGCUUAUUUUUCUUCUAAACAAAAGGAAAAAAGGAAAACUUUCCUUGUGUAACUGAUACCAAGAACAUGAUCUUGUUCCAUUAUCUGUAUUUACUUUACUUUCCCAACACUAACAAGGGGGCCUUUGUCUUGUUGUCUUGUGAUCCGUGAUGUUUAGAAGAAGAAGAAGAGUUAAGAAUUUGCAUUAGCUUAGCAAAGAACUAAACAGGGCAACAGUUAUGGAUUCAAAAGGAGAGGUGGUCAUCGAAGAGAUGAGCUUGGAGGAGCAGAGCUGUCUGCCAAAGGAGAAAGGUGGGAUGCCUUUAACCAGUUAAACAGUGUUGACCUAUUUGGUAGAGUGCUAACAAGUGCAAAUUACUCUCCAAAAAGCUUGACUUCUACAAGAAAAGCAACCUCGUGAUGCUACUUGGGUAAGCUUCCACGGGAUUGGACUGCACUCCACUCCAUUCUCGAGGGUAUUUGAGCACCUAACCUCUUACCAUCGACUGUGAGCAGAAAUAUCGUAACGUCCAUCAGUGAUUGAACGGGAACUGCAUCAUCUCAUAUAUAUCUAAGGACGAGGUUGAGCUCGACGCCGACUUCCUCCGCCACAUCCUCUCCAGGAUCGAGUGGAAGGCCCUCGCGGGGGCCAGGAAGCUGGACUCCGGGGACUUCCUCCGCCGCUUCAGCCGCGCGCAGCUCGGGAUCCAAGUCGAGGAGAGCGCCCUCGUCUGCCACCGAUUCACCGACAAGAGGGGCAUCGUCCAAGACGAGGUCAGAUUCAAGUUUCCGCCUUUGUUCGUCUUCUUUCUUUUCUGUUGGGUUAUAGAAUUUAGGGAUUUUGAGGGUUCGUCUAUCCGGUGAUGAUGGGAGUAAUUAUGGACUGGCAGUGGAAAAUACAGGUGAAAGGCUUUGUUCUAAUAUGUCUUUGAUUAUAAUGUUAUUAUUUUCCAAAAAAAAUGCUAUUGUUUCCCUAAAGCCCCUUAACUUCAGUUUUGAUACGAGAUAUGUAGAAAGGUAAUUGAGGGAAUUAUUGCUCAAAAAAAUGGUGAAUUCAUAUUCCGAAUUAUAUCAUACUUCAACGAUGGAUAUAUCAAUAUGAAUCUUGAAGCGACACGAUUGACAAAAGAGAUGCUUCGAGGUGUUCGCACCUUUCGUACGAGGAAAGACUAAUCGAUAUGUCAGCAUGAAUCUCAAAGAGACGAUUGAUGGAGCGAUGCUUCGGAGAAGAUUACGUUCUCUUACCUAUCUUAUGAGGAAUACCUAAAGGGAUCUUUAUAGCUUGGGUCAAGAAAUAUGCACUAAUCUGGAGAAAAUUGUGACAAAGCUUUCCUUUGAGUUCACCCAUUGCUUUUGAAGAUCCUUAUGACAAAGAUUUGCAACUGGUGCUAGAAAACCGUACAGAGCAUGAAUCUUAACUCUAGUUUGUAACAUUUGUUAGAAGAUUUGACUGACCUGUGAACAAUGUGAACAAGUUCUUCAACAUGAUUGGUCAAGCUUGAAGUGCAACCUGGAAGAACAAAAGAAACAGAUGCUUUUACCUUUGUUUCUUUAAAUGUCAACCAUUGCAAGUGAUGAGUUGAGGAAACACAACUCUUAUCUAAUUCUAAAAUACAGCAUUACAACCUCGACAAGUGAUUCAGCCAUGAGAUGAAAGCUUGGGGUGAAAAAUAUUACUUGCUAAUCACUGCCUUUCCAGCUAGAUCAAUAUAUGGAAAAGCUAUAUCACAGUUUUUCAUGAACAUCAAAACAAGAUUGAUCAAACAGACAAAUCAAUAGAAGUAAUCAAAAUAAUAUAAUAGAUGUGAUACAAUGGUUUAAAUGAAUCGAAUUGCAGACAAAUCUUAUUCUGCUAAAGAAAAAACCUAGCAGUCUAAAAAACUGUACCACACUGCCAUAGCAAUAGUAGUUCCUUUCAGCGACAAAGAAACUUAAAAUACAAGUACAGGCUCAGUAACAUUCUUCUGGAGAGAGUAGAUUUAUGGUGUAAUCCCUUCAUUACCUGUAAGGCUGCAAGAUGAGCUUGAAACUCUGCCUCCUUUACAGCAGCUGAAAAGAACCAGAUCUUUUAGCUUUUUAGCAGGCUCAAAACUUGGCAAAAUUGAUUGAGAAAAUGAAGCCGGUCAUACUCUUUAUCUUCUGUGAACUAUACUGGUCCAUCUAUUUGAACCAAAACUAAUUUACAUCAACACAUUGACGUCUGUGUUGUAUCCUGUUAGAUUACCAGAUCCAAAUCUUUUAUGACUUCUUGACAUGUUCGUUGUCAGGUGAUAGGGGCACACCAAAGACCCAGUCGAGCACAUUCAAGUACUUUGAUCGGAACACCUCUCUUUCUUGUGCAUAGCAGUGCAUGAUAAUGGCUGUGGCUAAACUGAAUACGGCCACAUCAGCUCGCUUAAACUUCGAUGCUUGAGGUAACAGUCCGGCAUCAGCCAAGCAUGUGAAGAAGCUCUCGAUUGCUCGGGCUAGACAAUACAAAGAUAUCUCGAUCCUUCUAGUCUUUUUCUCAAUUAGUAAUGCCAGGCCAGUAGGAAACUGUAAUUGACCAGAUUUAGUAACCAAUACUGUCGAUGAUAAACAAACACCUGACGAGUAAACUUACUGUGCCAAUUGCGACCAUUGGAAUGUUGCAUCUUUUAAGGAUUCUGAAAAGCAGGCAAGUCCAAGCCCUACAAAAGAAAAUCACUGACAUUUGAUCACAAGAUCACAGCAAAACUCAGACUGGUUUAGCAAUUGUGACUGUAUUUUUGAUGAAUUUGAAGUCAUAAACUACUAAUAGCUCAUCUAUUUAAAAACCAUACCAUAGAGAUCAUAAAAAGAUUGGUAUAUGGAGAUCCAUAAAUGAUGUCUCAUUCAUCGUUGAUAAGAUAUGAAUAUGAUGUAAAACAAAGUAGAGAGAAGAGAGAAGUUGAGAGAAAGCAAGAGAGCGAGAGGAGUGUAAGAGACUAGGAGAGAAAAGAUGUAAACCUUUUUUCAUUCAAAUCUGAAGUGCUUGAUCCAUUAACAAGCUCAACUAUUUAUAGGGGUUUAGGAGCCUUAGUACAAUUAAUGAAGAUAAUAAUUCACAAGAAUAAUCUCCUAAGGAAUUAGCAUGCCUUUUAGAAAUCUAAAAUAUGACUUAUAUGAUACCUAAAUAGUAAAUGAGUGUACUUAAUACAAAAUAAAUCCCUAGAAAGACCAAUAAACCUUUCAAUUUUCAACACAACUUUUAGAAUUUCUAGGCCAACUAAUUGAUGAUUUUUUGUUGAUAUCUUUGUCUGGAAUAAAUUUUUCUAAAAUUCUUUGUAAAACUCGAUGGUUCUCCAUCAUUCUUCCCUGGUGGAAAACAACUUGACCCUGGAGAAUGAUCUGCAAGGUAUUGGUCCAAUAAGUCUAGUGCAAAGUCACGAAGUUCUUCCAAAGUAAUCCAAGUGGCAUUGGAAGCUAGACGAUCAUGCCACUUGACAAAAAAGUGUUGCGUAAUACUAGUAGCAGAUAUAACAAGGCGGUCAUCAAAAAUUGCCUCUACGUCAUCCCUAUGUCGUGGGAAAAUCGAUGCUUUGGGAGAAUUGUCAUAUGCAGAAACACGGAUAGACAGUGGAGGCUCAAAAAUACUAUGAUUUGAAGUUAAAUUCUCCACAUUAAAAACUAGAUUAAUAUUUAAGUCGGAAGGCAAAUUGAGCAUAUAUGCAUUAGAUCAUAAUUUUUGGAAAAUAGGAAAAGAACCAAUGGCUCGGGUAUGCAACUUUUUAAAUGAGUUUUUAAGGAAUCCCUCAAGAUGAACACUAACCAAAACAAAGUUGCCAACUUGAAACUAUUGACUUUUACGAUAUACAUUAGUACCAAGUUUAUAACUUUCAUUACUUAGGACAAUUUUAUGUUGAAUCUCAGCAUGCAAAUCAUGAAUACGUUGAGAGGAGUGGACUAGCCCUGAGGCACGAUAAUCAUCAAGUGGAAGGAGUACAAGGUCGAUGGGGGGUGUGAGGAGUAUAGCCGAAGAUAGUUUGAAAUUAGCUUUUUCUAGUAGAGCGAUUGAUUGAGUUAUUAUAUGCAAAUUAGAUAGUGGGUAAGGUUAAGUCCCAGUUUCCGAGUUUCUCCCCAACUAAACAUCUAAAAAGAUUUCCUAACAAAUGAUUAAUAACCUCAGUUUGACCCUCGGACUGGGGAAAAUGAUUAGAAGAGUCAUAGAAUAUGCCAGACUUUGAUGGUAGGUUUGACCCAAAUAUGUUUGUUGACUAGCCAUGGAAGGCUCCUUUGAGUGGCGUGGAAUGAUUGAUAUUGAACAUGUACAAUUUGCAAAAAUGAAACUGGUAAGGUCCGCUAGAAAAUAUUGGCAACAUGUCCAACAUAGUCUCGAACACCAUCAAGAGCCUCGCAUCACUCAAUAGGAAAUCAGUGAAACAAAAACUCAAGAAAAAAUAUUUACCAACCUACUUUCGAAGCCAAUUGGUUGAACAAUAGUUAAACCUUAAACAAUUGAAUUCUAGUGUAGUAGAGUGUUUGGCCCAAUUUGAGGAACUUUUACCUAAGUGUGAAAUAGAAGAGGACCAAAUUAUCAUUGUUCGAAGAUUUGUUAAUAAGUUGAGGUUUGACAUUCAACGGGAAGUCUCUCUUAAAGAAGACUUCUCAAUCUCUCGACAAUAGAACUAUUUUCCAAUCUACCCCUAGUAGCUCAGUCAAGCCAAAAAUCCCUACUAAUAGCAAUAAUCCUGGCUCAACCAUGACUCGUCCAACUCGUUUAACUAUUGAUUCUCAAACUAGUUCGUCUUCAAUCUAGUGUCAUUAUUGCCAUAAUAGAAGUCACAUUGCCUCUCGUUAUCCUCAAUGUACCCUUAUCUUAAAGCAAGAACCAGAGGAUCAAAUCGAAGAAGUAGACCAAGUAGUUGACCUCGAAACCUGCUAACGUGAUGGAAACGAACUAGAAAUUGAUGAUGCCCAUGCUAUUCUCUCUACUGCUAGUGAUACGCGUAGUCUUAAAAUCUAAAGUGUAGAGAGAAGAGAGGAGUAGAGACCUGGCUUUAAUACCAAACUGAUGUAAAACAAAGUAGAGAGAAGAGAUGUAGAGAGAAAGCAAGAGAGCAAGAUAGCAAGAGAAGAGUAUAAGAGACUAGGAAAGAGAAGAUGCAAGCCUUUUUUUUACUCAAAUCUGAGAUGUUUGAUCCAUUAACAAGCUCCACUAUUUUUAGGGGUUUAGGAGCCUUGGUAUAAUUAAUAAAGAUAUUAAUUUCCAAGAGUAAUCUCCUAGGUAAAUAGUAUGCCUUUCAGAAAUCCAAAAUGUGACUUAUAGGAUACCUAAAUAGUACAUGAGUGUACUUAAUACAAAAGGAGUCCAUAAAAAGACCAAAAGUCUUUUUAAUUUUCAAUACAACUCUUAAAAUUUCUAGACCAAAUAAUUGAUGACUUUUUGUUGAUAUCUUUACCUAAAAUAAACUUUUCUAAAAUCUUUUAUAAAGCUCGAUGGUUCUCCAUCAAAAUCACUAUUUCAAUUCUGGUUCAAAUAACAGAUAAAUGAUACCGGUACUCAGAUAUCACAUCAUGCAACAUAAAACAUAGACAGAAAAAGCUUGCCUACUAAAAUUAGGUGAAUCAAGUCUAGGACUGUUUUCUAGCCCCUCUACCACAAAUGACUGAUUUUUACAGAUGGAAAGCAUAAUCAUCUUCUACAUUGAUGAACCAGGCUAAGUUUGUUAUAAAAACAACUGAAACAGACAGAUAGUUAGGCAAAUGAAUCUGACAAAAACAAAUGGCUAGCAUGUGUAUAAGAGAGGAGAGCAAAAGCUAACCAGGCAGAUGCACAAUAUACAGAGAGGAACAGGCUGGAUCUUGCAGUUCCCAGAAGACUCUUCCCAAGAAUUGUGUAAGGCCUGCAUAGGCGGGAAAAUAAGAGAACCAUUACAAACAUUUAGUACGAAUUUGUGAUAUGGUGAAAAGGCAACUCUCCGAAGAGGACGAUGUUAGAGGGUCAAAAAUCAAAAAUAAAAUACAGAAUACCACGAUGUCAAAAUUGAGGGAGAACAAAAAAGAAAGUUCCAUUUUUAAGUCUAUAGAAGAAAGGAUCCUCGUCAAGCACUUUUAUAUCAAGUCUGACAGCAUAAAAGACCAAAUAAAUCAUUUGGGAAAAUAUUCAAUAUCUGCUUCUCAGUGGUAGAUGUUGAAAAUUCACUGACAAAUGUUAGGAUCUUAUCCGAUAUCUAUAGCAAAAUUAAUCAUAUUUGAUUUUAGCUAUAAGACUAGAGACCAAAAACCAUGAAUGUGUAAGGUGUAGAAGAAGCAUGACACCAAAUGUAGCUAUAACAACUCCAACAAAAAUGACUAAAGAAGCUGAAAAUGAAAAAAAAAAAUAGUGAUGGCCAUCAGAAACACACAAAACUAUAUGCCCAUUAUUGAAAAGUCAGUUAGAUGAUUUUGGGUCUUCACCAGUAAACGAAGAAAGACAGAUACAAGCUACAAUUAUUAAAAGGAUCAAAAUCAUGUAUAGAUUCUCCAUGAAUUCACUCUACCAUAGGCAUUAUCCAUGAUGUUUGCUCCAAAAUCAAAAUGAACCAAAUAUAUCUAAACUUGUGUGUCCUCAAUGUUUAAUGAGGUCAUGCAGUGCAAUUUAUUUGAUUUUUAAUUUGAAUCUACAUAUCCUAUUUAUUUUAUUCAGGUUGCUAAUUCAGUGGCAGAGUACUUAGCUCAUAAAUGCGACUAUUACAUUUUACACAUUUAGAUGAAGCCAGAAAUUCAUCCAGACCCUUGAUAGGCCAUAAUAUCAUGACUGACCCCUCGAAAUAAUGAUUGAAAAAGGUGACACUUAAAUUACAUUUCUACGGGUUCAAAGAUAAGCCUGCUUCUAUCUUAUCAGUAAAACAAAUUUUCUUUUGCAAAUCAAAGUAUACAGAGAUUACAAAAAAUGUUUUGUAACAGUCACAAAGUGAGCUCAUGGAACUCUUUAGAUUGUUUAAGUGCAGGAUUUUGGACAUGAACCAGAACCACACAGAAAAGCUAGCCACUGUUUUUUUGGGUUCAUUGCCUAUACAGGAGCCAACAUCUCUCGUGCACAUCCAAUGUGAGACUACAACCAUGCAAACAAGACAUUAUGUUAAUGACAUUUCUAAGUUUCCACCACUCUUUUAACCUUCAAGAUUUAGAAAGAUUUUAACUUAUAGAAGCAAGUCUGGACUAAACAUGAGUUACCAAACAUACCACAGAUAUUUCAAGAAAUUACCUGUCAUAGGGUCACAUAACUUUCAGAACCUAUGAUGUUGGACUAGAAUUAUCAUCUAGGCAAGUUUAGCCUAGUCUAAAAGUGCAGACCGGUGCUCAAGGCUCUCUGCCAAUGAGGGUCUAAGGAGGGUCAAAGUGUGCAGCAUGGACGUGUUUAAUGUUAACAAUGUAAUUGUUAUUAUAAAUAUAGUAUUUAACUCAAUGAUCACAUCUUUGAAGAAGCUGCCCUAGUUUGAAAAAGAAAUCUACACAUGUAGCUUUACAGAUGACAUAUAAAAUGGCAUCUCCACAGGACACUACCACAAUCUCAUCCUUAGCAACCAAACUUCAUACUUCAAAAGCCACUCUUGCACCACAAACAUAUUUCAUAGCAUUUUGGACACUUGGGGUGAAAUAAAUGGACAUUCCAUAAUCUUUACUGCAAAAACAUCACAGAAUGACUAGUAGAAAAUGGUGAGACAAUAAAACUUAUGCAGAUGCAUGCUUUUUUUAUACCCAAGCUCUUCCUAUGGUUAAGUGACAAUGAAACUUUUCCAUCUAACAUAAUGAUAUCAGAUAUGGUCAUGAUCAGGGUUUGCCAAACUGGGUACCAGACCCGACUUGGAGAUUCUUUGGGCCAGCAUGUACCAAUCUGUACCGGUGUACCAUGUGUGGGUACACUGGUAAGUACUGGUGUUUAGGAGAGGAAGAAAAAAGGGAGAAGAGGAAGGGACAGUGGAAGGAGGAAGAAAUAGGGAAGGAGAGGAAGCGCCGAAGGAUGGAGGAAUAGAAAGACUUACCUGAGAUGUGGCGAUGUGUAGUGAGUUCGUGAUUGCACUCCGGCCCGGUAGCCACCUACGUGAGAAGCAUCAAUCGCAGCGGUGGAGGCAACAUUCGCGAACCCUACGAGGCAGAGGCGACAGUCUCAAGCCGCAGCGCUCACAUGAGAAGUGGGAAUUAGGGUUUCCCACUUCUCUUAUGUGACGGACUAGACCGGGGUGCGUCCACAUGCCGGUCAGCGUCCGGACCGAUAUGUGCUGCUCAUUUCGUACCGGUCCAAGAGAAAUUAUUAUCCCACUCAUGAUCAUGUACCAAGUUAUCACAUCGUUCAACACAAUUUAGACAAUAGUUCAAGCAAAUACACAUACUUCACAUCUUAAUUUCAAUAUAAACCUAGUCCCUUCCUAUACAGAAUUAACUAAAGAAGCUCUAAAUUUUCAGGCAUCAAUUUGUGCGUGAUAAGAAACAAGCUUACAAAACAAACAUGCCCUUGACUUGGUGUACUUGCACCAUGACAAGUAGUAGGGGAACUCAAAAUUUCCUCAGAUAUUCAUGGUUGAGAAAUUUUCCAUAAAGUAAUAAGAUUGGAUUAAAAAUAUAUACGAGGAUAUAUCAAAUGCACCCUAAAUAAGUCAACAUGAUAAUUGCUAUAAUAGAUGUACAAGGAAGACUUUUGAAUGUUUACCAUGAACCAAACAAACUAAUGACAAAAGAUUAUUUUGUUUCCAAGGCCUAAAUCUUGAAGCUUGACUUCUGACCGACUGGAAAUAAAUGAGCAAAGACUAUGCACAAAUGAAUUUAUAAUUCUUAAAUUUAUGUAAAUGCUUUUUUACCCUAAUCAGUGAUCACAGACUAGCAAUGUAACUUAAAGAGGAAUAGAAAUGAAAAACUAUUCAAGCUUUCUUUACAGAAUAAGUUAAGAGGUAAACUCAAUACCUUUUCAAAAGACCCUGACGAUGAACUAUGAGUGCAGGAACCAAGUAGACUGGAAGAUAAACUGGAAUUGCUCUUCCGUAUUCUUGGAAAAGGAAAGUUAUGAAAUGCCUAGAACAAGAUUGAUUGCCAUGAACAAUCUGCAAAAAUCAAUAACUUUUGUAAUUGAUGAAUAAAUCUAACAUUAGGAGUUACACUAUAAGUGUGCAAGUAGAUAAAUUCUGAGGUUCAUCUACAAAAAAUCAUUAUUUUUUAAUAAUAUAAAUCCAAACUUCAUCCACCAACAUGGGGUCAGCUACUAAGCUAUAGAGGACAUCUUAAAACCGAGAGUUGAUACCAGCAGUCAUAAACAAUCUUCUGUUUCUGAAACCUAAUUACAGUUUACAUACCAUAUUAGAUCCAAACAACAAACAUGUUGUCUUCCAACUCCUAAAAUGUACAAUCAUGAGUUUAAUUUAAGCAAAGUACCUGUAUAGUCACAUUCUAGAAAAUUUGGUAAACCACAAGACUUCUUUUGUUGAAUUAAACACCAGCAGCUAAUACGGAGAAAAUUUAAAAGAUAGGCAUGAUCAGAGUUAUCAGCAGAAGUGGAUGAUCAUACAAGUCUCACUUAUAGCAAAUUCAGUUGAACAACAAAAGACGAAUGCACAACUAUCAUCAAUGAACAAAGAACCGAUAAAAAUUUGUGAGCAUAUUCAUAAAAUUACACAAAAGACCCCAGGAAUGGCUAUUAAUUUAAAGAAAAACGAAAACAUCAGAUUACACACCGAGCAUGGAACUUUCAUGUUAGGGUCUAGUUUCACAUCAACACUGAUAGACUUGUAAUACUUCUCAAUCUUGUCUAAAUUGGAAAAAGGAAUACUGGAUGCAAUUUCUUUAACACCCUGGAGAAUGACAGCAUCUUUUCCACCAUGCUUAUUAAGAAAUGACUUGUAUGAUGAUGGCAAACUAUCUUGCUUCAGAAUGUAAGCAGACCUGCCAAAAACUAGAUAAAUGAUAAAAUAUACCAAAAUCAAAUUUAAAUCCAUACAAUAAAAGGGUAAUGGUAUAAAUUAUAGUAAUAGGUGGAUUUUUUUUUUAUAAGACAAGACGAAUCAUGGGAUGGCAUAUCCAACGACCUGAUCACAACAAAUUCAUUUAUCUGGACCAGUAUCAAAGUACAAAAGCACUAUCUAGCCAGUUGACAUGGAAUAGAGUUGUAGAACGUAGAGUCACAAAAAUUUGAUGCAUCAGCGCAUUUGUAUUGAACCUAAAUAUUCCAGACAAAAUUUUCUUUCAAGUUAUGCUUAAACAUAUCUGUCAAAAGUAGUUCUCAAAGGGAGAAGCAAAUUUUUCUAAAUGAAAAACAUAUCAAUGGGAAUAAAAAGUUUGUAUUUAACAAUUUUCAACCAAAAAAAAGAGGCAGCAUAAGAACAAUAAAGCAUCAUAAAAUUUUCUUCUGGACACUGAAGGCUAGAAGCAAUCAAUAGUUCAGUUCAAAAGGUUGAAGACAUUGAAAACUUCUUCUGGACAUUUUGAACCCAGUUUCUAGAUUUAAUAUGAAUAGAAUUUCACCAUAUUAAUCAUCACAAAGUAUCUAAAUCCUCAUAUAUCUUUAGCAUGUUUCAUUCAGUUUCACAGCCAGAUGAUUUUGUUUUACUUCUAGAUCCAACAAAGAACAAUGGUUUUACAUUAGGAAAUAUCUCUAUUAGAUCUGUCGUAAUAAAUCAAUUUAAUCAUAAUAGUCUAGACCAAAUUAAAAUAUCACCAGAUAUAAUGAAAAUGAAACAAAAUUUGUAUAAUCAAACAUACAGGAUUUGUGAAGAGGAAAGACACAUAAGAAAUAUGUCACCAUGUAGCCAUGUCAAUGGUCUACACAAACCACCAAAUCGUUCACUCUUUAUCCCACAACGUGAUGCCAGCACUGCAGCACGCAUAAGAAUGUAUAUAGCCAAGCUAGUGUGCUGUGUAUUUGGUCCCGUUAAGAGCAUUGAUGGACCAGCAAUCAACCCUGCUAUGAGGGAUCGCCAACCUGCAGUUCUGAGACAAAACAACAAACAGAAUUUCUAUUAAACUGUUAGCUCUCAUGACACCCUUAAAAUCUAUGGUUUUAUAAGGAUGUCAAACCACAGAUGAAAGAGAGUUAUGGUUAACAUAAGCACUCAAGAGAAUGCUGUAGCAUCACAUAAGAGGCUUUCAUUCUGUUUAUGUUUUAUAGGCAUGCUUCCACUACUAUUUAAUUCUGAUAGGAAGAUAAAAACAAAGGGCAGGCAAUAGAAUACAAUUUGAUGUGUUGUUGAUCUUUGAAUCUCAACAGUAAAAAGACCAUUUAGCAGAACUUAUCCUUCUUACAUGUUAGCCUUUCCCUCGAAAACUUUUGCACAAAGGGAAUUCCAAAUCUUUUGUGCUAACCACAUUCCAACUUAUGACACUAGGCAAAAACACUGACCAUGCUGGUCUCAAUUGUUCAAUUCUAGUGUGUUUGAUAUUAAAAAAAUUGAGCACAUUAAUACCACAACUAUACUGAUUAGAUAGAAAAUGAAGUUAAAGAGAUAUAUAUAAAAGUAAGGCAUCUUCAAAGAUUGUUCUAAUGCUAGGUAUUUUGCAAACAUAAAGGAUUCAGAACAACAAUAAAGGCUAGCUCAGUAAAUUAAUUAACUCUAGAGACAUAUUUAAAUGUUUCCCUUAUGAACAACCAUCCUCAAGAAGGAAAACCAAGGGUAAGCCAAAAUAAGUUAUGAUAUCUAAAACAGGACAUAGACAAACAUUGUGGAAGUGAGAAUCAUAGAAGAACGCAGCAUGGUAUGUCUGACAUACAAGGUUGCAGGAAGCUAGGAAGAGACUUAAGUUCCUACUUGAACCCACAGAAAUCAUCAUAAGACUAGAUCUUUCAUGUUGUUUUACAAGCAUACAAGCAUGAUUACAGUGUUAAAAAGGGUUCCCAGAAAAGAAUUCGAACUUUGAAUAGCCCACAGGAUUUAGUGAUAAGAAGGUUCCCAAGAGAGCAUUUGGGGUUGGAAUCAUUCACAGCAACUAGGACAUACACAUUGCCUUGGAUUAAUUGAAUUAGAUUGAGGAAUCAACCUUUUCUGGAAAAUCUGGAAAUUGGUUCAGAAAGCUGAAAACCAGAUAAAACCAUUUCGAGAUUGACCAAAAUCUACAGAGGGAAGUUGGAAACACAAAAAUUUGUUGAAACUUAAUGGAGACCCACCCAGUGUCAACAGUAAGUUGAAAUAGGACAAGUUGGUACAGUUUCAAUUAUCAAAGAUUCAAAGUCUCACACCAUAUGGGAUGUAUCAUCCAAUAUGCCUUGAGUUACUGUUUUUGAAUGUGUUACAGCAUCAGUAGAUCAUAUUUUGUAGUCAGGCAAGCAAACCCAUCUCAAUGGCACUUUGAUCCUCGUCAACUAGUAAUAGCUAAUCUACAGAAAAAGAAUCCAGGCCAUCACUAAUCAAUCUGUCAUGGUUGUUUCACCCGAGUCCAGUCUGGAAAAAAAAAAGGCAAGUCACUUUCAAUAGCUCACUAUCAAUGUACAGAUCCAUUGCACAUACAUAAUCAAGGAUAUAAUAGACUCCGUAUAAUUAAAUUAGGCCUUUCUUUUGUCAUAAUCAUAUAAUGUUGCCUCCUCGUAUGCUUUUUUUGUCAUUGAUUUACUAAAAUGUUAAGAACAGUGCAAAUUCUAGAAGAAAUCGCACCCCAUAAGACCAUGAAACACCUAUAAUUAUGAAACAAAGAAGAAAAAAACCUAGAACAUGAAGAAAAUAGAAGAGGCAUAACAAAGAUGAACUUUCCCAAUUCCAACAUGCUUUACCGUCUGUGGCCACCGAAUGCAGCGAUAACCUCGUCCACCGAAACAUAUGCUCCAGCAAACGUCCCCAGAAACAACCCAUAUCUCAGCGUCUCCUUCAAUGCCAAAACUACAGCCUCCUCAUUCGUGAAUACACCCGCCUUCCUGAAAAUUAACGCCCAUAAAAAAAGAUCAAAAAGUCAAGAAAACCAAAAUAUGCUCGCGUGAGAGGGGACUCGGGAGACCCUAUCGAUCAAACCUGGCGGACGGCCUCAAGGAUCUGCGGCUCUUCAACCGCACAAGAACAGAGAACAGCGCGAGCCCCCCCUUCAAGCCAGCGCCUAUCGCGAAACCCUUGGUCGCUGCCUCGACGCAACGCCGGAGCCUCCGCCGCUCCUCGUCGGGCGCCCGACGAAUGCCAGCGGGGAGGGUCGAGGGCGAAGGAGGAGGAGGAGGAGGAGGAAGAGGAGCCGCCGCAGCACCAGCCACCCCAGGCCGAUCGAGUCCCCGGAAGUCGCUCUCGCAUGUCCUGUGACCAGAAUCCCCGUUGGCGAGGAUGCCGUUCGCCAGCGAGGGACCGCCCGUGGCGACGCCCAUGCCACCAUCCGAGCGAGGUCGAGACAUGGGAAGCGGAGGAGGAGGAGGAGGAGGAUUAAGCUAGACUGCGAUGGACCGCACCGCUUCGAGAGUUUUAUGGCAGAGUGGCGAUAGAAAGAAUACAAAAAAAAGGGGAGAGCCAACGAAGCAGAAAAUUCGCAAAACUUCGAAUUCCCCCUGCUCGCACGGCUCUGGACAUAUGGGUCGGAUUGGAUCAGCUGUUUCAUGUUGUCGACAAACCACCCGUACGGAGACGCAUUACAUAACGACACGUCCGCAGAAAAUUCCGUGGGAGAUUUGCCCAAUCCCAACCUACCACAAGACGGGUGACAAGGGGAAGGGAAAAAUCUCUCUUUUCCAAAUCUAAUAUUAAAAAAAACAACAAUCAGUAUUUGUCAUCGGUUUUUCCAAAUCUAAACUAAGUAUAAUAUUGGCAACGAAAAACAAAACCAUUAUUAACAAUUCAGGUCGAUUUUGUUUGGAUCAUCGAAAGUGAAAAUUGAUACCUCGAGUAAAGUUUUUUUUUUUUAAGUCGAAUUUAUAAAAUCUUGACUGGGGAAUGAUUAUUUGACUAUCCAAAAAUUAUCAAAAUGGAUCUUUCUUCUACUUAGGAACUCCAUUUCUUGAACCAACCUACCAACUCUCGCAGUAUGCUACGGUAACAGUCGCUUCCUUGGCUAGCUUUUGAUGCAAACAUAUAAACCAUUAUCAUUCAUUAAGCAUCGAAACUGCUUUUGUUGAUAUGAAAGAUCAACCUUACAACCACUUGAUAAUUACACAAUAAAAUAAAGAAUAUAUAUAUAUUUAAAUCCUAAUUAUUUUUACUGUGUCAAUUAACCUAGCUGUUAAGACUACUAAUAGAAAAUCUCACCACUUGCACACAAAUAAAAAAAAGUGACAAUACCAAAUCACACAGGCUAAAUUAUAAUUUACCCUGAUCACUAUAUGAAACAUGCGAGACCUACACACAAGAUGGCAAAUGAAAAUAAGUCAUCCGAGACACUGCAAAGUGUGCUUGUAAAGAUUUUGAGUCUACAACUUGGAAGUGCGUGACUUGCAUUUGAACCAAAAUAUUACUUUCAAAAGCUAGUAACGGAAUGGAUUUGUAUUGUCCGGAGAAUUAGUCCAUCAGCGAAAAAGUAAAACGUAUACUUGUUUCAUUUAAAGAGAAACAAACAAACAACUAUGCAAAACACAAUUUAAAGCAAAAAACAUUAAAAAGAAAUAUAUAUCAGUAGCAAAAUGAUCCCUAUUAAUAUGUCAGAAACAUCAGAAAAGUGACUGGGAUUAAACAUAGAAAUUAGAUAACAUGGCGUUCCGGGCAGUAGCAGACCAUGCACCGGUAUCAAACAGUCAACAUACAAAAAAAUAAUCUAUCCACAACGAGUUACAAAGCAAAUUAAUAGAAUGUCACACAAUUUGGAAGGAGACGAAUAAAUGGUUAGAAGAAAUAGUCAAUUUCAAGGGAGAGAGAGAGAGAGAGAGAGAAUAUUUGACUUUUCUCUCUGAUUCCGCCUCUGACUUCUACUGUACCAAAGCAUGAUAACUAUACUUCAGAAGCCAUGAAACUUACAUUAGUGGAAACCGAAGUCACGCACAUCUUUAUCAUACAACUACUGAAAGCAGCAUAAGCAGAACAGGGCCUUGAGAUCAUGCAUCCUCUCAACAGAACUCUUCCUUGAUAUACAAAACUAAGAGCUGUGUCAGAUUAAAGUAAAAACACAAUGGCAUAGCAGAAUCAAACCAUAAUCUAGUAUGCAAUACCAAUUUUUUUCUCCACGGCACAAACUACAUUAAUAAUUUAUGUAUGUAACUCCCAGCUUGUCCAUGGUACAAUGUACAAACUAUAUUCGAGUUCAUUCCAGCUCUUCAGUACAGCUAUUAUUGUUGCUCAUAAUAUAUCAGCUACAUGCAUGACACACGCCAAAUGCAACUUAACUGUAUCUAGGAGGUUAUGAUUAGUGGAGGAUGAUUUACAGUAGAAGUUAAUGGACUAGAGGUGGUACUAUGAUGCAAAUAUUUAACAUAUGAAUUACAAAUAAAGUUCAACCUCAUCAAGCACUGGGCAUCAGCGUGUCACCUUCCAAGAACUCUUCUAGCUCAACCAUGAAAUCCCCAUCUGCAUUCUCCUCUGACUCAUUGUCAACGCUUUCUUCCAUUGCCUGUAAAAAAUAAAAAUAUACAAGUCCCAGUGUCAAAAUUAUAUUAGGUGCUAGUGUGCAGUAUACCAAACAAAUAGUCAAUUACAUGAUGAUCAUAUUCAUUUACAAUGAUUCAGUAGGCUUUAUCAGCUAGCCACACUCAUACUAGUAAUGAUCUUACCAUCACGGCCACCUAAACCAAGGCCCACAUUUUUCCUGAAAAGAGUCCAGGGAUUAAUGACGAUCCAGAGGUUGCCAUGUCUCAACCCUAAUUCAUGCAUUUGAGCUCAGUCGACACCUUCAGGCAAGCCCAUUUCAAGAAUCAGUCCUACAGCAUUUUAUAGAACUACUAGGUCUAAGCCAUCAGAAACCUGACUAGUCUAAUUGCACUAGCCACAACUGGCUGAAGGGUCAAAAUCCUAGUUUUUCGGUCGAAGCAUGGUCCAGGCAUGAGCCACCCCAUUCCACUGGCACCCCAAAAUCUAAGCAGAACAACUUUUGGACUAAACAUGGUAGUUUCCUAGCUUACAUAUCAAAAUAUCUCCCAAAGAGCAUUAAUUUUUACCAACCCUGUCCUAUUUAGAAGCAUAGUCUGAAGGGUGCAGAACUUGGAAAACUGGAUUACAUCAUCCCAGUGAUGCAUGCUGGAUGAUAAAUGAUAUAUAUAGUUGCAUAACCAACAUGUUCAGGGUUGCUAUCUCAAAAAAAUAAGGAAAGAACUAGAAGAAUGUUAAGGAUGGGGAAGACACUGCAAUGAUUUGAGCCAAUUUUAUUCUAGCCUCAGUAAGCUGAAGAACACAGCAUGCCAUUUGGAACAAUGAAUUACAUCAUCCCAGUGAUGCAUGCAGGAUAGUAUAUGAUAUCUACAAUUUGCAUAAACCACAUGUUCAUGGUUACUAUCUCAAAAGACACUAUGUUUUCAUUCUGGACUCACUAAUCUGAAUAACACAUUGUUAAGAGAACAAUAAAGAUUUUGCAUAACAGUAUGCCAGAAUACAGACACACAGAUGGAACAAGAACAUCAGGUGAAACAGAAUACAAAGUUGAAAUGGAAGGAUUUGAUACCAGACAUCAGCUCUAAGAGAACUUCAAAUAUCUCAUAUGUGCUACUUAAACCAAGCUCACAACUAAGCAAUAUAAUAUAGAGAAUAUGAUAGAAGACAAAACUUUGAGGGAACUACAGAAUCAUAGUUCCCAAUAUGACGAAAGAUGAGACACUAUGGCUUGUUAGUUUAAAAUACCUACAAACUCUUAAGACCUACUAGAUCAAAAUUUUGGUCUGUUGGUAUGCCAUGGAAGUAGAACAAAUCCAAGUAAAAGAAAAAAGAGCUACCUUGGACUCCUGGAAGUCUGUAACAACAGCUAGAAGUCUUCGAUACUGAUCUCUAGCUUCUGGAUAUUGAACCAUAGACUUCACCCUUGCAAGUGCCUUCUGCAUUCUAGCUUCUGUCUGUCUUCUGCCUUCUUGCAAGAAAUCAUAAUCAUCUUCCUUUUUAGGUUGACAUUGCAUGGUAGUGCCCUCCAAAAGACCUUCAGAUCGAAAGCCACGUAAGCCACUUCCUUUACGCCUCCAACGCAAUAUAGCUUUCUCCACAAUUCCUACUGACCACACAAUUUUUCGAUAUCGUUUCCUCACUUGAUGGCCGCGUACAUGAGCCUAGUCAUCAGAACAAGAACAUAAAUAAAUAACUAAUAGAUGACAAUAAGUACUUGUAAGUUGUAACAAAAACAGAUUAGCAGCUGAAUGGGUACAGUGCUUGACUUUCAUGCAAAUUAAGUCAACAUUUUUCUUUACUGAAUUAAUCAUUAAUGUUAUAGAACCAAUUGAAGUAAAAGAAAAUCAUAAUUUAAAGAAAAAAAAUACUUGAAAUGGCAGGAAAAAACACAAUGUUUGACACUCAAAAUUAUCACCCCUUACACAACAAAUUUCAAGUUUCAACAUUAGUCUCUAUUGAGUUAAUAGUCAAAAUUAUAAAUCAAAACAAAAACCAAAGUCAUAGUUUAAACAGAAUAUUUACGACCAAUUUUACAAAGAAUUGUUACUUGAUAUUUGAUAAAUUCAGGUUAUCUAUUAACUUAGGAAAGUGUAUCAGCAUAAAUAGCCUUCCUCAUCAAUAGAUUCUCCUUGACUGAAUGGGAAGCCAGUCAAACUGCUGCUCGGUCACUGAACCUUCCCAUGUUUUACCUACUUUAGAUUCAUCUACUGAUAGAAAAAUUUGCAACUAGGCCUUAAAUUUCUUUAGUCAUGAAGAAAGUGACCUCUGCAACCAAAUCUUGGCCAUUUCGCCAAAAUGAGACAACAAGAAUUGGAGAGUAAUGAUGUAUAUUGGACUGUGGAUGAGAAACCGGAUUGUUUAUCACUGUAAUCUUCAAGGCUUUACUAUAUUCAGGAAUUGGAAUCUGAUAGAAGUUACUUGGGGAACUAGACUAGUUAACAAACAAAUGGACAACAAAAGAAAGCUGAGUCAUCAAGAACAUGGUUGUCAUGCAAACAUGGUUGUCAUGCAAGCACAAUGGUGAUUGACUGAUGCCCAGGGCUGAUAUCAUAUGACUUCAUUACAGCUUAAAACCUGAAUGACAAUGAUGGGUUUGUAUCAGGAUAAUAUGCAAACAUGUUUAUGUUCUACAGCUACACAAAACUAUGUGCAUGUAACAUGCUGAACAUGUAUCUGAUGUGUCUGAGACCUAGUAGCUCUAGCAUUAGUAUGAAAAGCUGCAUAACAGCAAAACAAAGUAAAUGGAGUAAAAAUACUAUAGGCAACCAAGAACAUGGGUGGACAACAAAAGUAGCAAAACGCAUGGAAAAUACACAAGCAAAGUGAUCAAUCAAGAACAUCAGACCUGGAUCUUGACUAUCCGUUGCCUAAUAAUCAAAAACUCCUUUCUCCCUUUCCAUCCUCUGAACUUGUUUUGUAUACGAAUGGCAGCAGCAUGCAGAGGCGUAUCAUAGUGUCCUGAUUUAUGCGACUUGAUAGAUAUAAGUGAAAGUGCAUGUUCAUCUGAUAUUCCAGACUUGUCAUCUCCAUACUCAACAAUCUUCUUUCUGUGGAAUGACUGCACUCUAAAAACUUGGUAAAUGCGAGCUGCAGCUUGAGAAGCAUUCCGAACAGCACUUAAUGUGUCCUUCAGUGAAAGUCCGGCCUGCAUGUCUCCCUCAGCAACCUCAAGAGCACUCCGUUCUGCAUCAUCUUCAAUACCCGUCAAGCUAGCAAUUUCUGGUAGAUCACUUUCUUUUGUGUCUAUAGUGAGGGCCAAAAGAUGGCUUGUCAAAGAUGACUCUGCCAGGAAACCAGCAAUGCCUUUGUGACCAUUUGCUGAUGCUAAAUCUGCAGGUGUUCUUCCUGAAGGAAACUCAGGGGAUGGGUCUGUCAAUAAACCAGGUGCUGCACCCAUUGCAAUGAGGGUACCAACUGUCCACUCCCUGAAAAAGAAAGAGAGAGAAACUCAAAUUUAACUAAUCAAGAACGUAUAUGAGCUCAAAAUAAAAUAUCUGGUGUAAUCACCUUCCACAAAAUGCUGCCCAGUGAAGGGCUGUCCACCCAUGUACAUCUCUGAAAUUAAUAUUAACACCAGCAGUCACUAUUGGUUUUAUGGCCCAAUAGUAAUCAAGAGCAGCUGAUAAAUGUAUCACGCCCUGCCCCUCGGUAUCCCACAUGCUGGGGCCUUUACCAUCUUCAGCCACUUUGUGUAGAAGCCAAGUAACCAACUUCUCUCGUAAUAGUGUUUCAAGCAACUGAUCCUUUACAUAGUCAGCAGUGCAUCCUUCUCUUUCAGCUAGCUUAAGCAGAGAAGAACACUCAUCAGCAGCAUCCAUCAUAAUUGAACUAAUUUUACUUCUCACAUGAGCUUUCCUCCUAAAUAUCUCUGGAUCUAUUUUUUGGUAGUCAAUUGGACCCAAAGAAAGUAACUUAUCAAGACGUAUAUGAAGUAGCAUUUCAUUUGUGUUAUAAAUGCAGGAACCUAUAUUUUCCACAGGAUGAGCAUUGCUUCCACGAAAUUCAAACUCCCUCACUUCACUGCAAGCCAAUCUGUUGGAACAGGUGACAUAAAAAGGUACCCUUCCA